This 58766-nucleotide long non-coding RNA is filed under the name Citrus x clementina. RNAcentral describes it as "Citrus clementina (C. clementina) long non-coding RNA (CCLE_LNC002475)". The stretch from base 31493 to 31601 matches the Rfam family "Plant small nucleolar RNA R71". The record is from RNAcentral. Lineage: Eukaryota; Viridiplantae; Streptophyta; Magnoliopsida; Sapindales; Rutaceae.
UCGUGCAAUUGCACAGUCAUUCAGAGUACUUCAAUAUUGGGUUUUCAAGUUUUGUAUGUUUAGUCGAUUAAAAUGUUUAGUCACUCAUUCUUAAUCCUUUUUUCUGAUUUUCAAGUUCUUUAGGGCCAUAAACAGUUUUUCAAACUCAUUAUUAUUUUUUAGGUUGAUUUCCUACUCGUGGAGAACAUUGGCAAGUCCAAGGAUUAGGCUGGCGAUGGAACUACUACCUCUGUUGUUAUUGUGCAAGGUUUGAUCGCUGGACCUUGAACAAGAAUGCCUUACACACAUUCUGUAAUUGAAGCGUUCUCUAAAGCAAAAGAGCAGUAGAAGGAAUAGUGAUGGCCGGAUCUGCUCUUUCUUAAUUGAAGAUGUCUGUGAUGUUGAGGAGCUUAAAGCAGUUAAUGCUCUUUGAAAAUUGUUAUUACAGAUGAAUUGAUUCCUGAAGACGAGUAUCUAAUGAUUGUUAAGGCGUAUUUUCAUGAACUUCCUUUCUUAACAAAUGUUUCAAUGCUGGCUGUAGUAACAAUUUCAUAUCUUGCAUCUCCCGGGUGCAUCAUGUUCACGGGUUUGAAAAAGCAUUUGUGGUAAUGCUUCAAAGCUUGUACAAUGUCUCCCAAUGCUAAUAUCAUAUUUUGUAUGGCAAUUAAAAUUUAGCUAUACAAUCUUAAUAUGCAAUAAAUCAUUGUAUACAAAGUUUUCUAUUGAUUAUAUGGUGACUGAAAUUAGAUUGGAGAAGAAUAAAAAGAUACUGUUAAAAGGUUAUUUAAUUAGCGCCCUCUGAAUUUCUUGGAGUUAAUGUAGUCAAUUGCCCAAUUUUGCUGCCUGUGGAAGAUACACAGUAUGGAGUCCUCAUCAAACUCUGAGACACCUAAUAAAUAGUAGGAGGGGUUGGUAUUCGCCUGGUGUUAAUUUCCUGGCAAGUAUAGUUCACAGAUAAAGGGGUUCUUUUCUUGAUGUCUAAAUACCGUAUGUGAUACAACAUCGUGUAUUCCAAUUUUUCUCCAGUUAAAUUUUAAUAAGUUAGGAAAGUUAAUUUUGUUUUAGCAAUGAAUUGUUUUCUUAAUAAUAAUUGCCAUGUUCCUCUGAAGUCUUAUUAAUGCCAAACCAACAACUACUAGGUUCAUCUCUCGUUCACUUCCUCAGGGAUUCUCGAGGGCAUUCUUUGGCAGGUAGUCUUUCUUGUUGAGCUCCUGGAAUUACUUUUAAUUUAUCAUCUGUUGGGUUUUGCUUUUUGAUUGCUUUGUGAUUUGUGUUUUUAUCGCUUUGUCGCUCAUUAAUCUUGGCUGUUUUGAAUCUGUGUUGGAUUUAGACGUUUGGAGUUGAAAACAGUUAAAGCUUAGACUAGUAGAAGAGAUUUAUACAUUCAUUUAUCUUGGACAAAGUUUUUGGGGGAAAAGAAAAAUUAUAAGUAUACACUUUCCAAUGGUUCGGUGAUGUUUGAUUGGUUUAAAGAUGUUGGAUCUCUCAUCAGAUUUCUUAUGUAUCGACUGCUGUUGCCACAGGAUGCUCGCAGAUCCUGCUUUUUUGUAUAAACUUCUACCAGAGCAGGCUGCCACAAUUGGUUGCACUGUUUUGUGGGAGUUGGAGAAUCACAAGGAGAGGUGUUUUUUCUCUCAUAACAAAGGAACUCUCCCCUUCCUUUUUAUUCUCAUUUUAUAUAUUAAGCUAAUAAAUGUUUGUUUCUGUUGUGAUGGGAUAAAGCAAGAAUGGGAUCUUUGCCCUAAUAAAUGUGCUCACAGUAACAGCAUGUAAUGCUUUUGUUGUUUGGUCGCUUGCUCCUUGUCAUUCUUAUGGAAACACCUUCCGGUUUGACUUGCAAAUUACAUUACAAAAGCUCCCAAACAAUAUAUUUGAACGGCGGUACCCAUUUCGAGAAUUUGACUUGCAAAAGAGAAUCCACUCCCUUUUUUACAAGGCUGCAGAGUUGUGUAUGGUGGGAUUAAGUGCAGGAGAAGUGCAAGGUUCUUUGUCAAACUAUCUUGCUGGUAAAAAGGACAGGUAAACAUGGUUGCAAAACUUCCUUUUCAUUCCUCGUUCACUUAUUCGUUAUAAAUAAAGAAAACUUAGAAGAUUGUUCUGUUUACUGUCUAAGCCAGUUUAACAUUUAUUAAAUUACCCUUGUAAAAGAGAAUCCACUCCCUUUAAUGUCUGACAGGUUAUCUGUGACAAACAUGAGAUAUCAGCUAUUGUGUGGAUUUGAUAGAGCGGUCAUCAACCAUUUUGAUGUUAUUGGAGUAGUACUGUUCUUAAGCACUGCUUUGAGGUCUCUCCCUCUAUCUCUUUUACGCAUUUGUUUAUUGAUCUACAUCUCUAUAUACAUUGAUAGACUAAUCUGGUCGUACCAAAUUACCCUUGUUUUAAUGUUUUGUUUGUUAAACUUUGACUGGGGAAUCUGUUUAUUUGUCUGAUAUGAUGUUAGUGUGGUUUCUAUUGAAGUGUGUAGAUCUAUCACCGAGUAUUAUUUCAAUUUUUCUUUGCUUAAUCAACUUGCAUCCUUUCCAAGUCCAGAUCCUUAACAAUAGCGAGACUUCGCUACGGAAGUACAAUUUCUCUAGUUUUACAGUUAAAUACGUAAGGAUGGUUUUAAAUUAACUGAACUCUGAGGUAGUUUUCUAAGGAAAUACAAGCGGUGAAUAUGGUUCCAAGUUUUAAGUGCCUUAAUUAACCCAUUUGUUCAGCCCUGUGCGUAAACAAUCAGUAAUCGCUGUCCAAAUUCUUCUUUACUGCCUAUAUGUGUUGGACUUUGUCUAUUGUUCAACUUCUCAAAUGGAUUCCAUGCAGGGUUCUUAAUGUCCAAUUAGGAGAAAGAUCAAGGCUUGCUUGGCAAGGAGUGGAAGUGGAUCCGCUACUUCAGUCAGAUGACCUUUUCAAGAAGGCUUACAACAGGCCAUCUCAGGAUGUCAAUGGCUCAACUCAAAAGUCCCCAAGGUGGUUGAUAUCAAAGAAUGCCAUUGUCUCUGGGCUUCGGCUCCUUGGCAUCAAACAAGGGAAUGUCGACUCUGUUGAAAUGGAAGCAAGGGCUCCUAAAGUGCGAAGAAAGAGGAUAGCCCGGAAGAAGGUGACCGCAUAAAUUUCUUGGGAGUUAAUCCUAGUCAAUAGCCCAAUUUUGCUGCCUGUCGAAGAGAUACAACACGGAAAUCCUCAUCAAACUCUUUGAGACAUCUAAGAACUUGUAGGGAGGUGGUGGUAUUCACCUUGUUUCCUGGCAAGAAAUUUAUGGAACUUAUCUUCUAAAAACCAGCCAUGGCUUCAAAUUCAAUCACCUCAACACUCCAAUAUUGGCUUGUAAACCACCCACAAAUCCUCAACUUCACAUGGACACAAAACCAAACCCCAGCUUCCUCCCCACACUUCCUCAUUCUCUCCAUCCUCACUUACCUCUCCCUCACAUUCAUCCUCUACCACACAUCAACAUCAACAUCACCACCAUCAUCACCUUUCAUUGGACCCCACAUCCUCAAGCCCAUCACAGCCGUCCAUAACCUCACCCUCCUCCUCCUCUCCCUCAUCAUGGCCGUUAGUUGCACUCUCUCCAUCAUCGUCCAUUUGCCCCACCUCCAUUACACCCUCUGUUUCCCCCCCACCAUUUCUCCGUCUGGCCCCCUCUUCUUCUACGCUUACCUCUUCUACCUCUCCAAAAUACUCGAAUUCGUAGACACCCUUUUGAUCAUUUUGUCAAACUCCGUCCAACGGCUCACGUUCCUCCACGUCUAACACCAUGCAACCGUCGUCGUAAUGUGCUACCUUUGGUUACAGACGAAGCAGUCUUUGUUUCCUAUUUCACUUGUGACCAAUGCAAGUGUGCAUGUGAUCAUGUACGGGUACUAUCUAUUGUGUGUGAUGGGGUUGAGGCCAAAGUGGAAGAGAUUGGUCACUGAUUGUCAGAUUGUUCAGUUUGUGUUUAGUUUUGUUGUUUCGGUUUUGAUGCUGUAUUAUCAUUUUACGGGAUUUGGUUGCUCUGGGAUUUUGGGUUGGUGCUUCAAUGCUGUGUUUAAUGCUUCUCUUUUGACACUUUUUGUUAAUUUUCAUUCCAAGAGCUACGCUAAAAAAAAGCAGGGAUGAUCAGAACAAAUAGUUUUUGUGAUUGUUUUGUGCGUGCGUGUGUGUGUGUGAUUUUUUUUUUCAAGUUUGAUUUUGUUUAAUUAUGAAGGGUUGUGAUCUGUUCAUUGCAAUUGACAGAGAUGUUUUCAGUUGCCUAGACUUCGUAUUUUCAGUUUUAGUAAUAAAUGUCGUUUUUCACCACAUUUGUUUAGUCUCUCGCUUUUAAAUCCCCUCUCACACACAAAAAAAAUUGGAUUUGUAUCUUGUAAACAAAUAUUUUUCAUUUUGUUAAUGUAUUAAUUAUUGUUAUCUACAUUUAUGUGAUAGGGCACAUGCCACAUCGACUAAAAUUAAGUUAUGAAAUUUUGCAGCCCCUGAGCACUCAAUGUUUGUAGGCACAAGUUCAAGUCCCACCAUUUGUUAGGAUUUAAAUAAAGAACAUUAUAACCAUGCGUCCAAGAACUUAAAGAUAGCUUAAGUGCAUGGAUUCGAGUCCUAGUUAUUGUUGGAAUUCGAUUUCCUUUCUAAUUAAAUUGGGUAAGGGUAAAAUUAUCUCUCAAUUAAUAAGGACAGAGUAGAUAUUUCUCUCGAUUUUCCUCCCAAUUAAAUUAGUUAGAAGUAAAAUUAUCUCUCAAUUAAUAACAGUAGAAUAAAUAUCUCUCUAGUAUUAUGCAAGGGUAGAAAUUUGGGCUGUACCAUGUUAGAAUUAUCAAGGAUAGUUUUGGUAGAAUUCUAAUUGUAAUAUAUGAGUGUAUAAAAAAAAUGAACAUCAAUGAAAGAUUUUAGGCAAGAACUAUCUUGGAAUAGAAUUUUGAUUGUAAUAUAUCAGUAUAUAAAAAAAUUUUAUGAAAAAUGUUUAACAAGGACUAUUUUGAUAUUUUAAUGAAUAGUAAAAAUUAAUGUUAAAAUUUGAUAGACGAGUGUAUAGUAAGAUGUGCAAAGUAUUAGAACAUAUAUAAAUAAUCCUAGCUCUAAUAAAAUUUUGCUACAAAAUUAGUUUAUCCCUUAAAGAAACAUAUCAAAAAAAUAUACAAAAACACAAUGCAUGAGUACAUGUCAAUCACAAAUGAAAGCAAUUAAGAUAAAGGAUAUGAUUUAUUUUAUUUUAUUUUAGUUAUUUUUUUAAUUAUUUUUUGUUUCUUUUGAAACAAGACCAAUUAGAUCAUGCAAGAAGUAAUUUUUUUUUUAAAUAAAAAAGGAGAAAUGAUGAAACCCACGUCCAAAGAUGCCGUUGUCGCGGAGGCCUAGAUCUCACUACACCCCAUCCCCUUCUACCAUAUUUUAUAAUUGAAGAGGCCAUUAUUGAAUUGAAAAAUUAUGAUUCAAAAACCCAAAAAUAGAAAAAGAAAAGCAAUUGUUGGAAACACACUCGGAGUUUUAAAUUGACAUGAGAAAAGAAUAUAUUCAUCAACCUCAUACGUUAAAGAUGCGACGAGUUUGAGAUUAUGAGCCAAAUUCCUAACGUGUGGGAAUUUAAAGAUGUUACUACAAAACAUGUGUUCGUCGGUGGAGUAGAAUCAGGGAAAUUAAAGAUGCUACUACAACCACUAACGUGUGGGUGGGGAUAAGCAUAACUUUUUUCAUCAAAUGCCAAAUCCCCCCAGGUGGAGAGUGGGGACUCCUUCGCAUAAAUGUUGAUAAAAUUUUGAUUAUGAUGUUAUUAGAAAUUAGGAAAAACCUGUGGUGCAACUGUGGUACCGUGUUAUAGUUGCAUCCAGCCGUUGGAUACUAGUGGACCCUAUUGUUAACAUAUAUGUUUCCAUAAUAUUGAUUUUGAUGAUAACAAACAAAAUUAAGAAUGAUUAAUCUUUUAAGCUCAAAUUAUUUAAUAUUCUUUUUAAAUAAAUCAUUAUUUUCACAUUAUAAAUGUUUUAUAUUUAAUGGAAAAAUGAUUUUAUGAAAUUGAUUGUUUUUAUUCUCUUUAAAUAAAUCAUUAUUUUUACAUUAUAAAUGUUUUAUAUUUAAUGGAAAAAUGAUUUUAUGAAAUUGAUUGUUUUUAUUCUUUUUAAAUAAAUCAUUAUUUUCACAUUAUAAAUGUUUCAUAUUUAAUGGAAAAAUAAUUUUAUGAAAUUGGUUGUUUUUCAAAGUUUAUGGUUUAAUUAAAAGAAUUUUGAAAACUUUGAAAUAAAUGCUUGAAAUUUUGGAGGACUUAUUUGAAAAGUGUCAUAGCAUUUUUAGCUAUAUCAUAAUUUCAGAAAGUUUUGGGAUUAGCAAAGCAUUACUUAUAAAUUCUAAAAUUGGACCUAUUUAAAAAGUUUUAUAACUUUUUGGGCCGUAAUAUAGUUUUGUAAAGUUUUGGGGUCAAACUGUAAUUUCAGAAAAUAAUGCACUAUGCAGGUUACUGUAGCAUCCGGCUUACCGGAUAUAAAAAACUAGAAAACCGGAUACGGGGCAGUAAGCAUCCGGAACGCAAACGGCUUAUCGGAUUUCGUAACCGGCAAGCCGGUUAGGCAAAAUUCAAAUUUUUGCCUUAGUGGUAACAUAAAUCCAGCUUACCGGAUUCCUUAAACGGCAAACCAGAUACGCUCAGAAUGUGUAUAAUGGGUAGUUUUUGAGUUCAAACUAUAUAAACUCAAAAUCAAUUCAUUUUUGGUAAUACAAGAAAGCAAGAACAAGUGCACACAACAUAUAUUGAGCUUCAAUUUCGUGAAUCAUCAUUCAUUAAAUCAUCUUUGUUCUUAAAUUUGUAUAUCCACUCUUAAAGAGAGUUUGAUUGUUGUAUUUUUCAUUUCUCAUUAAAUUGUGAGAGUACAAGUGUGAGAAACACUUGGAGUGAAGAGAUUGGAGAGAUAAUCUCUUGUUGUAGAGGUUCAUUGACACCUUAAAGUCAAUUGUAAACAUUUGAAGCCUUGGAAAGGCUUGGAUAGUGAAAUCCUCAAGCCCGGUGUGGUUGGAGGCGUGGACGUAGGCGGGGAUUGCCGAACCACGUAAAAAUCCUUGAGUUUGCUUUCUCUUCCCUUACUCAUUUAUUAUUGUGCUUUCAUUGAAUUUAUUGUUUUCGAAUUUAUUAAGGCAUUAGAUUGGAUUUGUGUGGUUUGCUUUACUUAAUUUUUAAAAUUCUAAUUCACCCCCCUUCUUGGAUUGCCUAGUUAGUAUUUCACAUAUCCAUGCAAGUGUAUCCAACAACUGGAUGCAACUAUGGUAAGGUACCACAGUUGCACCGUAGCCGGACCCUAGAAAUUAAGAUAUUAUCUCUCUACAUAUUUUUGCACGAAAUAAUAUGCAAAUAUAAUAUUUUAGUUUAUUAUUAAUAGUUUUACAAUAAUAAAAAUCAUUUUGAUAGACUGGAAAAUGUCGUAUUCGCACUUUAUUUUGUACGAACGUCUGCGAGAAAGAAUAUAUCUAUAUAUAUAUAUUGGAACAUGUAUUUAAGAUUUAGCUAGUGUGAAGUUGGGAAAGUUUUUUUUUUUUUUAACCCAGGCUAAAAAUAUUUCAAUAAAUUUUGAUCAUGGAGACUAAUAAGAUUUUUUUGGUUAUAUUUAUUAAUUUUUUAGGGACUGACAUGAAUAUUAAUAUUUUUAUUGAGAUUAUUAAAAAAAUGUGCUAUUUUACAUCUAUGACUUUUCCAAUCUUUUUUUCUUUCGUUAUUUAUUCCUUUGUGAAUUUUAGUUAAUGCUUGAUAUUAUUUGUUUGCUCAUUUUUUAAAGCAGUAAUUAAAUCUGAACCCUUACAGUAGAAGAUUAUGAAAAAGUAAAGACACAAAAAUCAUAAAAAUCAUUGUAGGUCCAAAUUUGUGCUAUUUUCAUACAUAAUUUGAGAAUAUUUAUAAUUACGCAUCACAACUAGUGGAGUAGAAUCAGGGAAAUUAAACAUUCUACAAUCAUUGACGUGUGGGUUGGGGAUAAGCAUAAACCUUUUCUAUGCAGUAUAAAAGAAUGCAAUAACUCCUUUUCUUUCAGCAUUUUCGCAACAAAAGCACAUCUAAUAACUCUUCAGAAUUCUCGUCUUCUUUGUCAGAAUGGUUGAUGCGAUCGUUUCCUCUCUCCUGGUGCAGCUGAGCUCUGUUGCGGCUGAUGAAGUGAAACAACAGGUGAGGCUUGUGACUGGUGUCGAGGAAGAAGUGAAAAAGCUCACCCGCAAUCUUCGAGCCAUUCGAGCUGUGCUGGAAGAUGCAGAGAAAAGGCAAAUGCAGCGCGACAAUGCUGUUACUUUUUGGCUGGAUCAGCUCAAAGACGCAUCUUAUGACAUGGAAGACGUGUUGGAGGAGUGGACCACUGCAAGGCUCAAAUUGCAGAUUGAGGGCGUUGAUGAUGACAAUGCUCUUGCUCUUGCUCCUUAUAAGAAGAAGGUACGUUCCUUCUUUUGUGCUCUAUCAAACUGCUUUGGUAGUUUCAAAAAACUCAGUCUUCGUCAUGACAUUGCCGUCAAGAUUAGGGAAAUCAAUGGAAAGCUAGAUGAUAUUGCCUCCCAAAAAGAUAGGUUUAAAUUUGUUGAGAAUGUGAGCAACAAUGUUAAGAAACCAGAGCGAGUGCGAGCCAUCCCCUUGAUUGAUGAGAGAGAGGUUUGUGGUAGAGUUGAUGAGAAAAAUGAUCUCUUAAGCAAGCUGCUGUGUGAAAGUAGUGAACAACAAGAAGGCCUUCAUGUCAUCUCACUAGUUGGGUUAGGGGGUAUAGGUAAAACCACUCUAGCACAACUGGCCUAUAAUAAUGAUGAGGUGAAAAGAAAUUUUGAAAAAGUUAUAUGGGUGUGUGUAUCAGACACUUUUGAGGAGAUUAGGGUCGCCAAAGCAAUCAUUGAAGGUCUAGGCGUGUCAGCUUCUGGUUUAAGUGAAUUCGAAUCUCUUAUGAAACAGAUUCAGGAAUAUAUUACGGGGAAGAAAUUUUUUCUUGUUUUAGAUGAUGUGUGGGAUGGAGAUUACAAAAAAUGGGACCCAUUCUUUUCUUGUCUAAAGAAUGGCCACCAUGAAAGUAAAAUUCUAAUUACCACACGUGAUAGGUCAGUUGCACUACAGUUGGGAUCAAUAGAUAUUAUCCCUGUCAAGGAGUUGGGAGAAGGGGAAUGUUGGUUACUGUUUAAGCAGAUGGCAUUUCUACGUAGGUCCUUUGAGGAUCGUGAAAAAUUAGAACCAAUCGGGCGAAAAAUUGCACACAAGUGCAAAGGCUUGCCUCUUGCUGCAAAGGUAAUAGGGAAUCUUUUGCGCUCUAAAAGUACAGUAAAAGAGUGGCAAAGAAUUUUAGAGAGUGAAAUGUGGAAAGUAGAAGCAAUUGGGCAAGGUCUUUUAGCUCCUUUGUUGUUGAGUUAUAAUGAUUUGCCCUCCAAUUCUAUGGUAAAACAAUGUUUCUCAUAUUGUGCUGUCUUUCCAAAAAACUACAAUAUGAAUAAAGAGGAACUAAUUUCACUAUGGAUGGCUCAAGGUUAUCUUAAUACAGAAGAAGACGAAGAGAUGGAGAUGAUUGGGGAAGAGUAUUUCAACAUUUUAGCAGCACGCUCUUUCUUUCAAGAGUUUAAAAAAGAUGAUGAUGAUGAUAUUAUGAGCUGCAAGAUGCAUGACAUAGUACAUGAUUUUGCCCAAUUUGUAAGUAGAAAAGAAUGUUUGUGGGUAGAAAUUAAUGGUACCAAAGACUCAGUCAUAAACUCUUUUGGUGACAAAGUCCGUCACUUAGGGUUAAAUUUUCAAAGAGGCAUUUCAUUUCCUAUGUCCAUUCGUGGACUUAAUAGAUUGCGUACCCUUUUAAUUUAUGAUAGAAGUGAUUUCAAUCUGUCUCUUAGUAGCAUCCUUUUGUCUUUUAGUAGUAGCAAAGAAUGUUUAAGGGCAUUAGUUAUAAGGCUGUUGCGCCUAUGUUUUUGUCCAAACACAUAUAAGAUUAGAGAAACUCGAAAGUUAUUUAGUAAAUUGGCCUGUUUGAGGGCAUUAGUUAUAAGGGAAUCAUUAGUUAUAAGGCUUUCAUCCACGCCUGUUCGUCUUCACUCAAGUUUGAUUAGAGAAAUUCCAAAAAAUGUCGGAAAAUUGAUACAUUUAAGAUAUCUUAAUUUGUCUGAAUUAGGCAUAGAGAGACUACCUAAGACUUUGUGUGAAUUAUAUAAUUUACAAAAGCUAGAUAUUAGGCGGUGCCGAAAUCUUAAAGAAUUGCCAGCGGGGAUUGGGAAGUUAAAGAACAUGAGGAGUUUACUGAAUGGUGAAACUGAUUCGUUGAAAUACAUGCCAGUAGGGAUUUCCAAAUUAACCAGUCUUCGAACAUUAGACAAGUUUGUGGUGGGUGGAGGUGUUGAUGGUAGCAAUACGUGUAGGCUUGAAUCUCUGAAAAAUCUUCAACUCCUUCGAGAAUGUGGAAUAGAAGGGCUGGGUAAUGUGUUAUAUUUAGAUGAGGUCGAGAGAUUACAACUUUACAAUCAGCAAAACCUCCUUCGUUUGCGUCUUGAGUUUGGUAGAGUCGUAGAUGGGGAAGAUGAAGAAAGGAGGAGGAAGAAAGAGAAAGAUGAACAACUUCUUAAAGCCUUACAACUGCCUUUGAGUGUAGAGAAAUUAGGGAUUAUAUUAUAUGGAGGCAACAUUUUUCCCAAAUGGUUGACUUCACUGACCAAUCUAAGGAAUUUAUAUCUUCGCUCGUGCGUUAAGUGUGAGCAUUUGCCUCCUUUGGGAAAAUUGCCUCUGGAAAAACUCGUAAUCAUCCACUUGAAAAGUGUAAAAAGAGUGGGUAACGAGGUUUUGGGAAUAGAAGAAAGCAGUGAGGAUGGCCCGUCUUCAUCUUCAUCACCACCAUCAGUUAUUGCCUUCCCCAAAUUGAAAUCACUCAUAAUUGGGGCAAUGGAAGAAUUGGAAGAGUGGAAUUACAGGAUUACGAGGAGGGAAAACAUCUCUAUCAUGCCACGUCUUUCUUCCUUGGAAGUUCGUUCUUGCAACAAAUUGAAGGCGCUGCCGGAUUACCUUCUUCGAACGUCGACGCUGCAGGAAUUGACUAUUGACAAAUGUCCUCUUCUGGAAAACCGUUAUAGAGAGGGGAAAGGAGAAGACUGGCAUAAGAUAUCUCGCAUUCCCCACAUCAAGUGGUCGCGGUAAUUUAUCACUCGCCGGUAAUUUCUCCUGCUCCUCUGAUUUACUUCGUUGUUGCUUGCAAUGAAAUUAAUAAAAAUAAUUAUAUUUUGAAUUAAAAUUCUAUAUAGAAUCAAUCAUGGUAUAAAUACGUAAAACUUCCUAGUUAUCAAAUCUGUUAAACUUGUUUUCUAAAGAUUAAAUAAAAAAAAAAUACAAGUGUAGUCUGUUUAAAUUUCUAUAUUUAUUUGUUUUUAAAAAAUAUGUGCUCUUUUGUAAAAUUUCAUGCAAUGUAAUUUAUUUUUUAAUGUACGAAAAUUUGUUAUGUGUAACAAAAUCUCUGUGAUACGUUUGCAGUAAUGUUGAAAACUAAAUUAUCAAUUUUAUCUUAUAUAAUGAUAAUCGUAUUUUUUUAUAUAUAAUAUACGUGACAUUAAUUCUUUAAAGUAAUUGUGUAAUUGUUUUUAGUAGUACAUUAGCCCACUUUGUUUUAUUUCAUACUUGUUUAAUUAUGUUCACCAGGGAUUCGAGGAAAUGUCAGAACUACACUAGCAAUUCACAGGUCCAAUCUAAUUUGGUUUUAAUGAUGCGGGCAGGAGAGCAAGACUAUGAAAAUGAGAAGUUUAGCCAAAGGAUUGCUAAAAUGUUCUGCUGGUAAUUCACUUGCUUUAUUUUAUAGAAUUUCAUUUCCAUCUUCUUCUAUUGAUAUCUUGUUGUAAUAAACAAGAACAGAGAAGUAAAUAUAUAUAUCAAAAUUUACUAUUACGAUGAUGCUAAAGCAAGCUCAAGCUCAAGCACUGCAUUUUUAUUUUAUUUAAUUUAUAGAAUUUUCAUUUCCACCUGCAUUGCAUUUUUAGGUUGACUUUGAAGACUCUAUGGAGAAAAUUGGGGUAACCAAGGAUUAUCACUGUGGUUAUUGUGCAACGUUUGGUUGCUGGACUUUGAAGAAGGAAGUGAUGGCCGGGUCUGCUCUGUUUCAAUUGAGGAUGGAUAGCUGCCUGAAAGACAUGAUGAUUAUUAUCAUUGCAUGAUGUUAAGGUGCUAAGAUCAUCAUUUCGAUCUUGUUUCAUUCUUGGAAUCAUUUAUCCUGUAUAAACAUUUGUUUUAACAAAUGUUUCAAUGCCUGCUGUAGUAACAAUUUCAUCUCUUGCAUCUCUCGGGUGCAUCAUGAUCACGGGUUUGAGAAAGCAUUUGUGGUAAAGCUUCAAAGCUUGUACAAUGGCUGUGAAAAGGCACAUUCAAUUCGGUACGUUUGGUGCGGUCUCCUAAUGCUACUACCAUAUUUUGUAUAGCAAUUAAAAUUCAGGUAUACAAUCUUAAUAUGCAAUAAAUCAUUGAGUACAAAGUUAUCUAUUAAUUAUAUGGUAACUGAAAUUUUCAUUAUAAUUUUAAUUAUCAUAUUAAUAUUAAAGUUUUUUGUAACCCUCUUUUACUUUGCUUGUACAGAGUAUCUGUUUUGGCUGAUAUGUCUAAUUCGUAGCAAUUCAUUUCCAUCGGUUUCCAUUGGUUUUAGCACAAACAGAAACAAAAAUCUGGGGAAAAAGUUUUACUUCUUCUGGUAUUAUGCCUUUAUUUAUUCAUUCAUCAUAUUUGUUCGAAUUCAUGCUCUCAUUCAGAGAGCAGCCUUUUCCAGGCUACUUUGUAGCCAAAUUUUCAUGCCAUCGAUGCAUGAUUGUCAUUUAGAUUUUCCAAAUAAUUGUUAGAUUGAAGAAGAAUAAGAAGAUAUUGUUAAAAGGGUAUUUAAUUAGCACCCUCUGAAUUUAGUUGCCAAUAAUGCAUUGAAAUGGUUGGGGAAAGUUAUUGUCUCAAUUAAAUUACAGGUGACAAGAUGCUGCUCCAAUUUUGCAAGCAUCUCGUGUUUCGAGAUUUUGCCCACAUGAGAUGCUAUGAUUUUUGACAUCAGGGUAACAAAGGUCAAAUUUUAGCAUCAAUAGAUAUCAUCUUCUUUACUGUUCUGCUCGAAAUAUUAAACUUUAGGCAAGUUGUUUUUGUUUGUGUGAGUUAUCAGGUUAAGGAUACUAAGCAGCUUAUUAAGGCAAAUGUCAGAAUGAAGAUUUUUCACCGCACCUGGUAUGAAUGAUGGCGAGGAAGAUUAAUUGUUCACAAGCCAAUUUGAUCAGUGUUAGAUUCUUUUGCCUCCCUUCAAGAGAUAUCAUCAUCAAAUUUGAGAAGAGACUUUUGUUUUGACAUUUCACUGUAGUGAAUUUUGGGAGCUUGAACCCACUUGAGUGAAAUAUUAGGGAAUACUGGGGAUAUGGGUUAUGAGUGAUCGUUAUCCUUCAAAUAUUUGUAAGCUCUCACUUGUUAGUAAAAUCAUCUUCGUAUAUUGACUUUGUUUCUUUGUUGUCAGGCCGAGUGUGAUCUUCAAGGUUUGAGAAAGUCUUCGCAGUAAAAUUUCCACCACGUGCAAUUGCUGUGAAGGGGCAUAUACAUUUGAGUAAUUCAGUUUCAGAUUUUCAAGGCGCGUUUGUUUAAUUAGUUUCGAUUAUAAUAUUUAGUCACUCAUUCUGAAUCUUUUCUAAUUUUCAAGUUCUUUAGGGCCGCCAACAGUUUUUCAAGUCUACAUGUGGCUGCAAAAAGAUUGAUGGUCAUCAAAUUAUCUUGAGCCUUGAGGCAUUGCGUUCGAGCACAAAAGGAAACAGAACUAAGGGAAAUGAAGACAGUAGGAGAUGCUCUGAAUAUAACAAAAGUAUAUUUCUACUUCUUGUGGUUAUUUUAAUUUUGUUUAUCCUGUCAUCAUAUUUAAUUAAUUCGUUUGAAUUCACACUCUCACACAUUAUUUAAAACCAUCUGCAGGUGGUUUGCAAGCUAGCUAAGUUAAUGCAAAAACAAUACUCUAGACAAAGAUGAGCAAAUUGAAGGCGACAAAUGCAAAUUGGAUUUCAAUGAAUAAUUGUUAGGCUGGUGGAGAUAUUCUUAAAAGGGCAUUAAGCUAUCUUAUGGAAUUGGAAAGUUAUUAUUGCUUGAAAGCAAGCAGCAUCUUCGUUGCGAAGGCUUUCCCCACCUGAUAAAAUGCUGAGAUUGUUACCGGCCCCUUAAUUAUUUAUUAACUCAGGUAUUUAUUAUCAAUACAUCAUCUUAUUCACCAUUUUGGCUAUAUAUAAAGAUUAAAAUUUCUAACAGUUGUUUCGGAUUCUUGUGUACUCAGGUUAAUAGGGCAAAUAUCAGAAUGAAGAUUGCUCAGUGCAACCGAUAGAGCAAGGAUGAUAGUUGUGAGAAAGAUUGUUGGCAAGACAAAUAGAGCCCUCCAUUUGGAGAAAUAUCAUCCUCAAAUUUGAAUUGUCGAGCAUGUGAGGUGAAUCUAAAGCCUUAAUAAUGAGACCUUCCUGUGGAAGUUUCAUUUGAAUGAAUUGAACGUUCUUACUGAGUGAGAAAUUAAGUAUAUAUCAUCGAUUUUGGUCGUCUGUGAAUGUUUUCCUUCAAUAUUAAUACACUAGCAUUUCUUAGUAAAUUCACUUCACGUCACUUCCUCCUUGUUGGUGGGACUAGUAAACAAAUGUCAUUUCUUAGUACAUUUUGAGAAUUUUGAUUCCCAAAUAAGCCUGCAGAACGGUGUAUGGUGGGAUUAGCUGCAGGAUUCUUUGCCAAAAUUCCUUUUUAUUCCUUUGUUCACUUAUUCGUUAUAAAUAAAGUAAAAUUAGAAUAUUGUUCCGUUUACUGUCUAAGCUGGUCUAACAUUUGUUUAAUUUGGGCAAUUUUUAAUGCCUAACAGGUUAUCUGUGACAAACCCAUCGGUGAGUGUAUGCAACUAUUGGAUGGAUUUGAUAGAGCGGUCACCAACAAUUUUGAAGUUAUUGGAGUAGCAUGGCUUGGAGGUCUCUCCCUCCCUCUUUUACGUAUUUGUCUAUUGAUUGACAUGUCUAUAUAUACAUUGAUAGACCAACCUACUCUGGUUUUAAUGUUUUGUUUGUUAAACUUUGACUGGGGAAUGUUUAUUUGUCUCAUAUGAUGUCAAUGUGGUUCCUAUUGAAGUGUAUAGAUCUGUCACCUCAAAGUCUGAUUUCAAUUUUCCUUUACUUCAUCAACUAGCAUCGUUUCCAAGUCCAGAUACUUACCAAUAGUGAGACUUUUCUACGGAAGUACAAUUUCUCUUGUUUUACAGUUAAUUAUGUAAGAAAAGUUUUACAUUUACAGAAUUCUGGUAUAGCUCUCUUAAGGAAAUGCGAGUGGUGAAUAUGGUUCCAACUUUUAAUAGGCUUAAUAGGCCCAUUUGUUAAGCCACAGUGAUUGCGGUCUAAAUUCUUCUUUACUGUCUAUAUGUGUUGGAGUUUGUCUAUUGUCCAACUUCUCAAAUCGAUUCCAUGCAGGGUUUUGAAUGUCUAAUUAGGAGAAAGAUUAACGGAUGACCUUUUGAAGAAGGCUUACACAACAGGCCAUCUCAGGAUGUCAUGGCUCAGCUCAAAAGUCCCCAGGUGGUUGAUAUCAAAGAAUGCCAUUGUUUCUGGGCUUGGUCUCCUUGGCAUCAAACAAGAUAAUGUUGACUCUAUUAAAGGGGAAAUAAGGGCGACUAAAGCGCGAAGAAAGAGGAUAGUCCGGAGGAAGGUGACUGCAUAAAUUUGUUGGAGUUAAUGUAGUCAAUUGCCCAAUUUUGCUGCCUGUCGAAGAGACACAUCAUGGAAGUCCUCAUCAAACUCUGAGACACCUAAGAAAUAGUAUGAGGUGGUGGUAUUCCCCUGGUGUUAAUUUCCUGGCAAGUGUGGUUCACAGAUAGAGGGAUUCUUUUCUUGAUGUCUAAAUACCGUAUGUGAUACAACGUCGUAUAUUCUAAUUUUCCUUGAGUUAAAUUCUAGUCAGUUAGGAAAGUUAAUUUUGUUUUCGCUAUGGAUUGUUUCCUAGAUAAUAAUAGUUUCCAUGUUUCUUUGGGGUCUUAUUAACUCUCUGUAACCCAGUUCAAGUUUGCAAAUUCUAUUUCAGAUUUCUCAUAUAGUGUGCCUUUGUCACUUCUGUGAUACACUUUUGAUCACAAGUUUCCAUUUGAAGUAACCAAUAUUCUUUAUAGACUAAUUAUCUAAGGAUUAUUUUAUACAAAAAAAUCAAAACUUUAAUUAAUUGAUCAUACUUAACUUGGCUUUUGUUUGAUAUUACUAGCUGUUGUGAGAACCAAAAAAAUAGCAGAAAGUUGACAAUGUGCAGUAAAUGUAUGACUUUUAAAUAAUAAUUUAAUAAAAUUAAUAAAGAUAUUAUAAAUUUUUUAAUAAUAAAGUAUGAGAUCAAAUCAAAUUAAUUUUUAAGUCAAAAUUGUUUAAUUAUGUAGUUUAAAAGUAUAGUUAUCCAACCUCAACACAAUAGAGAGAUUUCUAUUUACCAAACUCUACCCAACUUUGGUUGUACUGACUCGAUCAUGCAAGUCCAUACUCGACGCGUUGACCAUACAAGAUGUUACUCAACUUUAACAAAUCUUACUCAAACUUUGCACGUUUAGCAUGCCGAAUGGAAUAUGAUAGUAGAUGAUGUGAUAGAUAUUAUAGGAAUAGUCGUAACAAAAUUAUAUUUAGUACUUUUUUAUAUUUUAUGUGAUGAACAGAUGUAGUAUAUGAAUGGAUUAUAUUACAAAUUUUAGUGUUAUCAUAAUUAAAAAAUUGAAUUAUUUUUUAUUAUUGAAAAACUGUAAUAUGUUAAAUAACAGUUAUUUUUAUUAAUUUUUUUUAAUGAAUUAUACUUUUAAAUUGUAAUCGAAAAUUCUUAUUACUGAACUAAUAAAAAAUUAAUUAGCUCAAGAGAUAAAUUCACUUAGUGUAGAACGAAAUGGUGUGUUAUUUUUAUGUGGGAUCCACAUCCUUUCCACAUCAACCUCAACAUCCAAACAUGAAAUUGGACUAAAAAUAGUUCUUUCCCAUGUAUUUACGUAACCUCCUCCCACUAAACGCAAAUAUUUAUUCUUGAUUUUACUAACAUAAUUUUCUCCCAUUUCCAUAUUGUCCGCGUUGAGUGCAUGUAAUCCACAAGUUUAAUUUUUUUUUUUUUUUUAGAGAGGUAUGUUAAAAUGAAUAUAUCACUUUUUUUUCUUUUUUCCUUUUUUUUGUGUGAGUGAUGGCUUCGUUGAAUGACAGUUGGCUGAUAAUAAGUUAUCUUUUAAUUUUGUUUUUGAUUUAAUAGAAAAUAUUAAUUUUUGUAGUUUCGGUAGAUGAAAUUUCGAAUCAAAUAUUAAUAUUGUUAAAGUACGCAACCCAAUAUUUGCUUAAAUUACAAAAAAGAUUAAUUGCUUUGCAUAAAAAAGAAGUGAUCACUUGAUUUAACUUCCUUUACUAAAUUUACGAUUUAAAAUCCAAAAUAAAAAAGAGAGUUUAUUAUUGAUUAUCAUUUUCCCAAAUUUAAGCUAAGACAGUAAUAUGUCCAAAAUACCCUCCACGUUAUCCUAAAACUUUAUGAAUUCCCCCGUUCCUCUCAACAUCAUCUCUUCCAAAUCUUUCUUCCCCAAAAAACCAGCCAUGGCUUCAUAUUUAGUUACCUCAACACUCCAAUAUUGGCUUGUAAACAGCAGCGGUUCAACCUCUAGGCAACUUAGGUGGUUGCAUAGGACUCCGCUUUAUAUGAAAGCCCUACAAGAUGAUUAUUUUGUAUAUAAAAGAGGAAAAUGAAUUUAAAAGUCAUUAUUAUUCAUUUAAUUUAUUAUUAUUUUGUAAUUAUCUUUUUCUAAAUAAACUAUCAAAUUCUUAUCAAGUUUAUUUAAUGUAGUACUUAAUUGUUUUAAUUUCUACAAAACCAAUAAAUUAAUAGUUUCAAUCCUAAAAAUUCUCUAUUUCAUUGUUAGAAUUAAUAAGUUAUAUUUCAAAAGUUUUAUAUUUAUUUUAAACCUCUAUAAAAACCCCACAUUUUAUUACUUAUCCAUUAAAUUUUUCGUUCAACAAUCAAGACAUCUUGGUGUUUGAGAGAAAGAAAGAGAGAGGGAAAAAAAUCUUGCUUCCUCUACUUUCUACUCUAGAAGAAAAAGAAAAAAUCAAAUAGUUUUCUCUAUUUUCUAUGACUAUUGGUUGCUACUCAAAUUUUCAAACAACAGCCUUAAUAUAAACAUAAGUUAAUUUAUGAUUUCAUCUCAAAUUUCUGAUUUUAUCUUUUUAUUAUUCUCUUAAUUAAUUGUGUUGUUAUUUGUUCUUAUUUCUUUUUAUAUAUUCUUUUCUUCAUCUACUUUUUUUGUGCUUGUUUUAUCUAUUUUGAAAUAAAACUAUAUCAAAAAAUUUUAGACAAUAGGAGAAUAAAAAAAUUAGAUUAAUUUAAAAAAAUAGUAAAAAAGAUAUAAUUUAACUUAAAAAAAAGUGAAAAUGUUAUAAUUGAAUUAAAAUUUUAUGACUUAACAACAAUAGAAUAAAUUUGUAUUUAAUAAUUUUAUAUUUUAAAGUAUUUAAAGAAUUAAUUUUUAAUAAAUAAUAUUAAUAUAUAUAUAUAUAUAUAAGUUACUUAUCUCUCCAUCCGCACUUAUCUCUCCCUCACAUUCAUCCUCAACCACACAUCAACAUCAACAUCAACAUCACCUCUCAUUGGACCCCACAUCCUCAAGCCCAUCACAGCCGUCCAUAACCUCACCCUCCUCCUCCUCUCCCUCAUCAUGGCCGUUGUUUGCCCUCUCUCCAUCAUCCUCCAUUUACCGCACCUCCGUUACACCCUCUGUUUCCUCCUUACCAUUUCUCCGUCUGGCACGGCCUAAUUCCGACGGAAUCAACGACGGUCGUGAUGGGUUUUGGCUGCGACUAUUCGCGCUUCAAACGGCGGCGUUUCGGUUGGUUUUUGGCGACAGUGACGGUGGGAAAGUGAUGGCUGGCUCAGGAGCUUUCUUUGCUACCAUCCAUGGCCGGUGAGGUGGCCGAAAAUCGGAUAUAUGUCUGCGUCGGGUUCGCAGUUUUGGGUCGGGUUUUCCGGGUCAGUUUGACAGCUUCCUCUAUCCCUCUCCCCCAUAAAACAUUACCCAGCUUCCUCUUAUUAUUAUUUUUUUUUUCACAUACGUUACAGAACAUUAAUGAGAGAUGUUUAGUAGUAAGGACUAUUUUGAUAUUUCGAUGAGUAGUAAAAACUAAUGUUAAAAUUUUAUAGACGAAUGUAUAGUAAGAUGCUCAAAGUACUAGAACAUAUAUAAAUAAUCCCAGCUCUUAUAAAAUUUUGCCACAUAAUGAGUUUUAUCCCUUAAGCAAAACAUAUCGAUAAAGUAUACAAAAGCACAAUGCAUGAAUGAUGGUCUUACAAAGUUCGAAUAUAAAGUUUAAGAUACAGAAUAUGAUUUAUUUCCUUUUAGUUUAGUUUUUUUUUUUUUUUUUGGUUUCUUUUGAAAGGAGACCAACUAGAUCAUGCAAGAAGUUAAUUUUUUUCUAAAAUAAAAAGGGAGAAAUGAUGGUCUUACAAAGUUCGAAUAUAAAGUUUAUAAUCUAAAAUUAAUGAUGUGACAAUUAACCUAAUGGAGUAAGAAGUCCCAAAUAGAUUAUAUUUUGCUAAAGAAGUCAAUUCUACCAAGAAUACCUCUUUCUAUUGAAUUUAAAUGAUGAUUAUUUGUUUAUAUCAUAAAAGCUAAAAUAAUUGUGUGAGUAAUUUGAUUCUUUUACAGUAUAAAAAUAAAUUCAGAAAAUGUUAGGGAAAGGUCUUACACUAUAAAUGACCAAUAGAAGAAUAGAAAAGAAUUUUAGAUAGUGGAAUGUGGAAGGUAGAAGAGUUUGGGAAAGGUCUUUUGGCUACUUUGUUGUUAAGUUAUAAUGAUUUGUCAUCCAUAAUAAAACAAUAUUUCUCACAUUGUUCUAUCUUUUCAAAAGGUUACAAUAUGUGUAAAGAGAAACUAAUUACACUAUGGAUGGCUCAAAGUUACCUUUAAAUGUAGAAAAAGGCAAAGAGAUGGAGAUCCGAUCCAAUAUGAUAAUAGUAGUUUAUUUUAAUUUUUAUUAAUUUGAUUUCAUAGGAGUAGUUUUCAUUUUUUGUUGAAAAUUGGUAAAAAAAAACUAAAAUGAGAUAAUUACUUUAAAACAAUCUUCAAGAACUAAAAUAAUUAAAAAAACUCAAAAUAAACAAAAAGGCUUAAAAAUAACCCUAAUCCGAAAAUUGUUUGAAUCCAUCCUAACUGGCCCGAAUAUGAUUUUAACCCAAACCCAAUCUAACUCGCUUAUAAUUAUAACCUAAUGCGAUCCAAAUUCAACUUGAAUUUUUGAUCCGAUCUAAUCCAAUUUGAAUAUUCUAACCCUAUCAACCAGAAACCCAAUUAGGUUGAUCUGAACCUACAUUUGUCCACUCCUAGAGGGGAUCAUGACCCUACAAACUUUGAAAGUUUUUUGAGAUUUCUAAGUGAAUAUUAAAAAUUAUGUAUAAAAAGACUGAUUUGACCCCUAAACACUUGAUAUAGAAACUUUAUACAUAUAAUAGAAAUUAAUUUUAUAUUUUGUGAAAUAAAAUCAAAGUAACUGAAUUUUUUAAUUUUUAUUUUGUUAAUUAUUUUUCUACUAUGACAAAAUGACUAAUAGCCUGGUGCCUAGCUCUUUGACUUUUAUUUUGCUAAUUAUUUUUUUUCAUUUCUCUUGCAACAGUAAAUUCAAUUAUCAAUCAAAGUCGCCAAAUCAAAAUCUCUGCAGCCUGCAGCUACAAGCAAACUUCUCAAAUUUCGAAAUUCCUUAUGACUACAUAAUAGCUAUAAAUAGAAAAAGCGUCUAAAAUAACUAUGUUUUCCUAAGUUUGAGCUUGAGCCCCCUGAAGAUUUACUCCAUAUGUAACAAAAUAUUAGUUUUGCUAGUAAAAUUGCUAACUAUGUUUUUCUUUGUAUUUCCGCUCAAGGAUGAAGAAAUUUCCCUAGACUUUUGUGGUGAAUAUCUUACGAACAUAUGACAAUUUAAUCUUUGGCUGAGACUUGUUUAACAUAAGAGAUGACACUUUGAAGCAAUAGGAGAGAGAGCUGAUAAGCUUUGUUCCUAAAAAAAAAACUAUUACUUCUUUCUUUGAACAUAUGCGCAUUCUCUCUAAUUGUUGCAAUGGAGGAAUUUCCCAUCUAAAGAACACUUCAAUCAUCCAUUGCUUUGUAAGAUGUGAAAAGGCUACGAUUCUUGUACACAUACUUGAUUGCACCGGAAUCUAUUCACUAUGCAUUAUCAUGUUUGAGAAUAUUAAUCUCAGAUAUCAUGACCAUAAAUUUUGUCCACAAAAUUUGUGUUCAAACACUUCUUUUCUUUCUUAAGAAGUUGACAGUCUUUUUUAAAGUGGCUUGGCUUUUCACAUUGGCCACAUGUACACUUCUUUUUUUUAUUCUGUUGGUUUGAUUCUAUUUGGAAUCAAACUUUUGCUUUUGGUUAUUAAUGCGGUCAUUAGACUGCUUAAGCUCCUUCUCCUCCUCCACAACAUUAAUUUUAGAGGACAUAGCAGGCUGUUCCUCAAGACUAUUAAGUCUAAGUUUCUAUUCAAUAUGAAGACUUUGCCAUGCCUUCCAAGCUAAUUUCCUCUUUGCUAUAUUUAAGACUUUUUUCAUAGUCUUUUCAAGAGGGGGGAAGUUUAUCAAUAAUUGAAGAAGUGGUGCAGUCAAUUAAAUGAGCGAACUCGAGAAUCAUAAGAGUACAUACAAUAGUGGCUACAAUAAUUAGGCCUGCUUCCUCUCUCACCAGAACAGAACUGACGGCCCGAUCCGAUACCGCCAAAUACAUGACACAACUUAAAAGUAAAUUUUAACUCCCAAGUAUAAGAGUGUCUUGUUGUAUUAUAACUCGGUGAGUCCGAGGUCGAUCCACAGAGAAAAGAUUUAAUUAGUUUAUUUUAUUUUAUCUAAAAAUUGAAAUUAAAACUUGAAUAUAAACAACUUAAUUUAAAUGAAACUAUGGAAUUGAACUAGUUAGGGUUAUGGAUCCACUCUUAGAAAUAAAUAAAACUUAAUAAAUUCUUUUUGCCAAUUUGUUUUAGAUUUAUUACUCAAAAGAUUAAUUAUACAAAUUAUUAUUAUUUUCCCUUUAAUUUUAUGAUGGAUUAAGUAUUUAUUGUGCCAAAAUUUAAUUUGUCUACAAUAAGUCAAAAUACCAUUUCACCAUGCCUUAUAUUAAGAUCUUAAGAAUUUAUUGUGCCAAAUUCAUUUGUUUGUCUACAAUAAAUCAAAUUUUCAAAAUAUAAAACAUGUAUAAAAUUAAAUAGAAAAUAAUUUAAUUUAUAAAAUUAAACAUAGAAUUUGAUUAAAUCAUAUUUAUUUCUUAAGAGUUUCACCUUCCCCUAACUAAUAUUAUUUAGUUAAGCAUAAUUAAAAUAAAAAGAAGUAGUAAAAUUGAAUUACUUAUAAUUAAAAGAAAUAAAAACAACUAAAAUUGGAAAUAAAACUAAUUUUAUUAAUGAAAAUAAUUAUACAAAAUAUUAAAAACACACCUGGAAAUCAAGAUUAUAAGGAGAUGGAGAGAAUUUGAGAAGAAGAGAGUUGUAGAGAGAUGAUUAAAACAUAAAAAUGAGGCUCUAUUUAUAGAAAAAUAAAUUCAUAAUCCAGUGCUUUGCGGUCCAUCAUAGGCUUCAUGCAUGUGCUCCUCACAACCCUUAGAUCAAGAUCCAAUGGCUGGUCAAACUUCAAAAGUCAACAUCACACAUGGCAUCAUUUGACUCGUCCGAUUUACCCAAAGAACGGUUGAGAUUUGGCGGGUUAAUGGAUGGAUCGGGUCGACCCGAAUACAAAGAUUCGGAUCCUCCAACUUGCUUCACCAACCAUUGCCACGUGGCACAAUCAUGGCCAUUGAAUCAUGAACGGUUGAGAUUUAGUCAAGAUUGCCAAUUAUCCCAUGCACUCAUAUCUAUUGUAAGCUCAUUUCAUCAUCCAAUCAGUGCUCGGUCAACAGGAAAAGUCAACUUUUUUUACACAAGCCCAAUUUUAAGCCGAUCUUGACUGAUCUUAAGGUUUUCGGACCUCCGGAAUCCAAAUUUGACCUCUGUUUAUCUGUUUGGAGCCUCGAAAUACGUGAAAUUAAUAUUUUUCCUAAUAAACACAUAAAAAUACACAAAAUUAAAUAUAUUUAAAACAUAAUUAAUAAUUCAUAAUAUAUUACAUAAACGCAAAUAUAAAUUAUAACAUAAGCAUAAAAUAACAUAUUAUCGCUUGAUAAUUAAACAAUUUUUAAUACUAAUCACACCCCCCAACCAGCUUAUUGCUAGCCCUCUAGCAAUUAAAGCGUUAUAUUAAGAUUUAUAAAAUUCACAUGCAAGUUAAUAGUUGUUCAUCUAUCCUCUAAAUUACCAAAUAAAUGAACUCUCCCAAAUUCCUUUACCACAUUGAUGUUCACUCAUUAUCCAGAAUAUCAUCAAACCUUCUUUUGUGCUCAAGUAAUUAACACAAUACUUAUGGGGCUUCAUUAAAAGAAAAACAACAUUUUCGUUCUAAAAUUCAUUAGAAAUUAUAUCUUUAGGCAAUAGAUUAUUCACACAUUUUUUUUUUAUAUUACAUUUCUAACCCGUGUAGCGAGCUUUAGGUCAAUGACUCCCAGACCAGUUGGCCUUAGGGCACUAGGUGUUGAAGCACCCCUACGGACUUAAUUACUCGGGUUUCUAAUAAACAAACAAUAUAUCUAUUACCCAUGUAGCGAGCUUUAUGCCAGUGACUCCCAGACCAGUUGACCUUAGGGCACUAGGUGUUGAAACACCCCUACGGACUUAAUUACUCGGGUUUCUAGAUAUAACAAAAUUAAAAACAUUUUUUCUUCUUCUUUUUUUUUGAUUUUUUUUUUUUUUUGGUUUUUUUGUUUUUGGAAAUAUACACUUUCUACUACCUUAGAUACUAUUCCUAAUAAAUCAAAAGAACUAAAUGCUGUAAAACUUUAACUUACAACCCACUAGUAUGUGUCAUAGUGUGUGUGUGAAGAAUGAUUCAAUAAUACCUGUUAAAUGAGUAAACAAUUAAAUAACUUAAUAACCAAGUGGAGAGUUCACAAAUUUGAGUAAUUCAAAGAAAAGGGAACAAAAACAACUUACUAUGAAUCUCAAAAUCAAAAUAUAAUACAACAAGACUAUUAGGAUGCGUCUCAAAAGUCGUGACUCUUUACACGGCCAUCCUAGACAAAAAACAAAUUUUUUUUUUUUGGUUUUUUUUUUUUUUUUAACAAAGAAAAGAAAAGAGAAAAGAGAAAAACAACACACAUAUUUAAAACAUACGUCAAUUAUCCCCACCCCACAACCUAAUCUAAACAUUAUCUUAACAUUUUAUAAUUUUACAGAUAUGCAAAAAAAUAAAAAUAAAAGAGAAUAAUAAAAGAAGAAGAAGAAGAGAUCUCACCUGAACUUGAUGCAGAAGCUUAAAAGCAAAUAACAAAGAUGAAGAAAGAGUCAAUUUUUUUUUUAACAACACCCUUAAGAUUAAGAAGAUGCGUUUCUAGAGAGACUACAUUCUCUAUAUCCUGCCAUCUUCGACUCAAAUUUGUCCUAAGUUAGUCUUUACAGAAAAAAAAAAUUUUUUUUUUUUGUUUUUUGUUUUUUUUUUUUUUUUGUAAACACAUAACCAGGACUAAGACAUUCCACAAUUAUCAACUAUUCCCUCCCCCCAACCUGAAAAAGACAUUGUCCUCAAUGUUUUAAAAGGAAAGAGAAAGAGUGUAGAAGACAUCACAUGAACACUACAACAGAAAAUAUUUACAAACGGAGAGUUAAAUCUAAAUCGCACUUCUUAUUACUGCUACUGUUACCGUUACCGUCAUUAGUCGACCAAUUCAGUGCAACAGUCUGUGGAUCUGGCUCUGGUGUAUAAGCUUGCAAAAGAUCAAGUAACUCAUUAGCAGUAGAAGCAGAGAUAAAGAGUUUUUUUACAGAAUGUGGAACAAAAUGAUUCUUUAUUGCAUGGUUAAUAAAAGUUAGCAAGCCGUCAUAAAAAUUAUUAACAUUUAACAAACCGAUGGGUUUUUGAUGAAUGUUCAAGUGGGCCCAAGAUGCAAAUGUAAUUAGUGCCUCAAAAGUUGCAAGAUCUCCUGGCAAGAAAAUAAAAGCAUCAGCAUGAUUCAUCAUUUCAGAUAUUCUCUCUUGCAUACUUGAUACCACUAAUUCUUCUCCAAUUGGUGGGCCAGACAUGCACACUAGCGGUUUCAUGGGUUUUGGGAUAAUGCCGAGUACUUGGCUUCCUCUGGUAAAAACAGCUUCUGAGACAAGUCUUGAUAACCCUCGUUCACCUCCUCCAUAUACAAGAUGCAGUUUCCUCUCUGCUAUGACACGACCAAGAUCUACAGCUGCCUGAACGAACUCUUUGUACUUUCCAUAGUGAAACCCAGAAAGCACACAAAUAUUUUUGAAUUGUUUACUCGAAGAUGAUGCCAUUGGACUAAUUUUUCAAAAACAAGUUGUGAGUGUUUGAAAAAUGAGCUCAUAUUUAAAGAUCUUGGUAACAUAAAUAAUGAGAAACAGCUGUAAAUGGGUUGGCAAUAUUUGUCAAAUGACGAGUAAAGCUCGUGGCUCAAUAAUUCAAAAACAAACAGUAAAAAGAAAGUAAUGAUUAGAAAAAGCAAACAGUAAAAGAAAACCAAAUAUUUAUUAAAUACAAAAUCACAUCGCUAAAUGCAAUAAUGCAAAUGAUAAAAUAACAGUAAAAUAAAAUAACAGUGAAGUGAAAGGAUAUUUACUGGUAGUUGUGAUUGUGGCUCACAUCUUCCUCUGGUUUUACGUCCAGUAACGGCUUGAACGCCCUCUAUGGGUCGAGGAUCGGCUUCCCAUCCAGUUUUCUUAUAAACUGGCAAACAGGGUCUUUUUGAGUCAGAUUCCCAAGACUUAACUGUGCACUUUGUUUUUGGAAUAGUAUCCACAAAUUGUAAAUCUCACGUUGCACAAUUCCGCUUCGAUGCGUCUCAAGAGAUCGUAAGAUAUCAUCCAACGAUUCUUUACUCAUGCCAUCUUUAACGAAUUUAAUUUUAUCUUCACGAGUAUCAGAAACCAUUCCUAAAGAUUUACAAUCUGGUCGUUUGCAACCAAGUCUCACACAGUUAUGACAUUUUGAGCCAAGUCGUUUAGCUCUCCUUUUCUUAGCAAACGUACUUUUACCAAAACCAGGCAUGUAAGAAACAAAUUGACCAGAAAAUUCACCUGCUAAUCGGACCUUUGCUUCAAUUAACCAACGAAUGUCAGAAGGAAUGCCAUUGAUCAUUAACAAACGCAGUCGUUCACAACGAGCUUUGUAAAUUUUCCUGAGGGCAUUCUGAGGGAGAGAGGGAAAAUGCUUAUGGAGUUUAUGUUGUAUUUCUUCCAUGUAUGAUUUUGGGGUUUCAGUUAUUGUGGGAAACUGAAGAUACCGACUUAAAAAGUCACGGAGUACCGUUAUCCGCCAUUUAUACGGGAAAAUAAAUCAAAACACACCAAAAUCAAAUCUGCAAAAUCAAAUCAAGCGUGAAAGCGAGCAAAAAGAAGCACACAAUAUAAAAGGAAAAUGAACUUACAUUCGUCCUCUCAUUGAGUUAACCUCAAGCUCCAUUUGAAAUUCAUAUAUGCCACUCUCUACUGUUCUGAGUUGUCCCUCUAGAUCCUCAACAUAGGACACGAAUUCUGGUGGUUGCAGAUCCCAAAGUGGAUGUGAUUUACAGCUUUGUAUCAGGCCUCUUAAGUGAAAUUUUAUACGCCGAAAUCUUUUAAGAUGUGCGAACAGGUAUUUUCUCAUUGAGGUGCUCAUGAUGUAAAAUGAAAAUUGAUGAGAGAAUGUACAACUGUCAAACAAACACGCUUACACAAGAAAAACAAUGUUAAAAAAAAACUAUGUACAGUGCAUCAAUCUAAGGAAAAAAAAAAGUCAAACAAUGAAACGGUAAAAUAAUAGUAAAACAAAAAAAAAUCAUUAAAAACUUAAUCAAGAACUGGUGGGUCAUCCAAAUUAAUUUCGGUGUCCUCGUCACGUGGGUGAUGUUCCAGAUAUGGUUUUAAUCUUUGACCAUUAACUUUAAAUGUGACACCAUUAUUUGGAUUCUCAAUUUCUAUGGCCCCAUAUGAAUAUACAUUUUUUACAACAAAUGGGCCACUCCAUUUUGACUUUAACUUUCCUGGAAAUAAAUGAAGACGAGAAUUAUAAAGCAACACUUUUUGACCAAUCUCAAAUGUUUUUCGAAAAAUUCUUUUAUCAUGAAAUGCUUUUGUUCUUGCCUUAAUAAUUCUUGAAUUUUCAUAUGCAUCAUUCCUUAAUUCCUCAAGUUCAUUCAAUUGCAAUUUUCGCACAUUACUAGCAUCAACCAAAUUUGAAUUAAAAGCUUUAAUAGCCCAAAGUGAUUUAUGUUCAAGUUCAACAGGUAAAUGACAAGGUUUACCAUAAAUUAACCGAUAGGGUGACAUUCCUAAUGAUGUUUUAAAUGCAGUGCGGUAAGCCCAAAGUGCAUCAUUAAGUCUAAGAGACCAAUCUUUUCGGUUUGGGUUAACCGUUUUUUCCAAAAUUUGUUUUAUCUCCCUAUUUGCUAAUUCAACUUGACCAUUUGUUUGAGGAUGAUAAGGGGUAGCAAUUUUAUGUGUAAUUCCAUAUUUCUUCAUUAAAGACUCAAAUGACUUAUUACAAAAAUGCUUACCUCCAUCACUGAUAAUGGCUCGAGGGAUUCCAAAUCGACUUAAAAUGUUUUCUCUUAAAAAUUUAAUCACAGUUUUACUGUCAUUAUUUCGACAAGAAAUUGCUUCAAUCCAUUUUGAGACAUAAUCAACUGCAACUAAUAUAUACACAAAUCCAAAAGAUGAUGGAAAUGGACCCAUGAAAUCAAUUCCCCAACAGUCAAAUAUUUCAAUUUCAAGUAUGGGAUUUAAGGGCAUCAUGUUUCUUUUUGUAAUUGAUCCCAAUUUUUGACAUUUUUCACAACUUUUGCAAAAUUCAUAUGUGUCUUUAAACAUGGUAGGCCAAUAAAAUCCACACUGCAAAAUUUUAGCAGUAGUUUUUCUUGAAGAAAAGUGACCACCACAUGCUUCAGAAUGACAAAAAUUAAUGACACUACUUACCUCAUUAUCAGGAAUACAUCGCCGAAAAAUUUGAUCUGGGCAAUAUUUGAACAAAUAAGGAUCAUCCCAAUAAAAUUUCUUUACUUCAACAAAAAAUUUCUUCUUCUCUUGAGCAUUCCAUUGCAAAGGCAUUUUACCUGUAACAAGAAAAUUAACAAUAUUAGCAUACCAUGGCAUUGAAGUAACAGAAAAUAAAAAUUCAUCAGGGAAAGAAUCAUUUAUGGGUGUUAUAUCAUUGCAGAAUUCGGAUGUGAGUCUUGAUAGAUGAUCAGCAACAACAUUUUCAGCACCCUUUUUAUCUUUGAUGGUAAGGUCAAAUUCUUGUAGUAACAAAAUCCAACGAAUUAGUCUCGGUUUGGCAUCCUGUUUACUCAUCAAAUAUCUCACAGCAGCAUGGUCAGUAAACACAACAGAUUUAGAGCCAAGCAAAUAUGAACGGAAUUUGUUUAAUGCAAAUACCACAGCAAGUAAUUCUUUUUCAGUUGUAGAAUAAUUCAUUUGAGCACUAUCCAAAGUCUUGCUCGCAUAAUAAAUCACAAAAGGCUUACCAUCCCUUCUUUGUCCUAAAACAGCACCAACAGCAAAAUCACUUGCAUCACACAUUAAUUCAAAUGGCAAAGACCAAUCAGGAGAUUGCAUAAUAGGUGCAGAUGUUAAAAGACAAAUUAUUUUUUCAAAAGAUUUUUGGCAAUCAUCAUUCCAUUCAAACGGUGCAUCUUUUAAUAAGAGGUUACAAAGUGGUUUAGAUAUGGCACUAAAGUUUUUUAUAAACCUCCUAUAAAAUCCUGCAUGUCCUAAAAAGGAUCGCACAUCUCUAACUGUUUUUGGUUGUGGCAAUUUAGAUAUGACUUCGAUUUUUGCUUUGUCAACUUCAAUUCCUUUAAUAGAAACAACAUGACCCAAAACAAUUCCAGAAGUAACCAUGUAGUGACAUUUUUCCCAAUUCAACACGAGUUCUUUUUCAACACAUCUUUUUAAAACUUUCUCCAAAUUAUCAAGGCAAUCAUCAAAAGAAUUCCCAAACACAGUCAAAUCAUCCAUAAAGACCUCUAAACAAUGUUCAACCAUAUCACAAAAAAUGCUUAACAUACAUCUUUGAAAUGUUGCAGGAGCAUUACAAAGCCCGAAUGGCAUUCUUUUAAAUGCAAAUGUUCCAAAAGGACAUGUGAAUGUGGUCUUUUCUUGGUCCUCAAGUGCUAUAGGAAUUUGAUAAUAACCUGAAUAUCCAUCUAAAAAACAAUAGUAUGGAUGUCCUGCUACUCUUUCUAAGAUUUGGUCAAGGAAUGGUAAUGGAAAAUGAUCUUUUCUAGUGGCUUCAUUUAAUUUUCUAUAAUCAAUGCACAUGCGCCAACUAGAUGUAAUUCGUGUUGGAAUUAAUUCACCUUUUUCAUUUUUAACAACAGUGAUUCCAGAUUUUUUAGGCACUACUUGUGUAGGACUUACCCACUUACUAUCAGAAAUAGGGUAGAUAAUUCCCACAUCAAGUAAUUUAAGGACUUCUAUUUUGACUACCUCUUUCAUGUGUGGGUUUAUCUUCUUUGAGGUUGUUGACAUAUUUUAGCAUUUUCUUCCAAAUUAAUUCUAUGUGUGCAGAUUAAGGGAUUAAUGCCUUUAAUGUCAUUUAAAGUCCAUCCUAUUGCAUUUUUAUGCUUUUUAAGAACAGUAAGUAACUUACCUUCUUGGUCGCUUGUUAAAGUAGAAGAAAUCACAACAGGAUAAGUUUGUUCUUCUCCAAGAAAAGCAUAUUUCAAUCCUUCAGGCAAAGGUUUCAAUUCCAUUUUAGGCGCUUCUUGUUGUUCUAUCUUUUCAAUACUUCCAAGCUCCUCAAAUUUUGGCUCGUCAUCAUAAUUUUGCGAAGUCUGCAUAGAAUCAAGCAACGAAUUUAUAUUAGAAAUAUCAAGUUUAAGUUGCUUAUUUGACUCAAUUGAAUUAACUAAACAAACAUUAGAAAGUUCAGAAAAAUCCCCUUUUUGAAUAUUUUCCUCGAUACAAGAUUCAAACAAUUCCUUUUGUUCAUCAGUAUCAUCUUCAUUCUCAUUUUCUUCAUUAGGUUGCCUGCACAUGUUGAAAACAUUCAAUUCCAAAGUCAUAUUCCCAAAGGAUAAAUUCAUUAAACCAUUCCUACAAUUAAUCAAAGCAUUAGCAGUUGCUAAAAAUGGUCGACCUAAAAUUACAGGAAUUGGUUUGUAAUUAUUCACAACAGGUUCAGUUUCCAAGACAAUAAAAUCCACAGGAUAAAUAAAUUUAUCAACUUGUACUAAAACAUCUUCCACUAUUCCUUUUGGUACUUUAACUGAUCUAUCGGCAAGCAAAAGUGUAGUUGAAGUUGAUUUUAACUCACCAAGAUUAAGUUGAAGAUAAACUGAAUAUGGAAGCAAAUUAACACUAGCACCAAGAUCUAGUAAAGCAUGCUCAAUUCUGUGGUUACCAAUAAUACAAGAAAUGGUAGGACAACCAGGAUCUUUAUAUUUCAACUUAUUAUUAGUAGACAGAAUUGUACUUACCUGUUCGGCCAUGAAAGCACUCUUUCUUACCUUCAAUUUCCUCUUAACAGUGCACAAGUCCUUUAAAAAUUUGGCAUAUGAAGGAACCUGCUUGAUUGCAUCUAAUAGAGGAAUGUUAACUUUCACUUGCUUAAAGAUUUCAUAAAUUUCAGAAGAGUGGUUUGAUUUCUUUGGUUUAUUCAAUGCAUGCGGAAAUGGUGGUUCAGGUGGAACACUAGUUAUUUCUUCACUAGGUGUAAGUUCAUUUAGUCCUUCCUUACCCUUUGAAUUUUCAUCAUUUUCAUAAGGUUCAGGCAUAGGUCUAUCAACAACCUUACCACUACGAAGAGUUAUAACUGACUUGACUUGGUCUGUGGGUGGAUUUUGUUGAAUUUUAGGAUUUGGUUGUGGUUGGGCUGGAAAUUUUCCUUUUUCUUGAAUGGUGAGUGCAGAAGCAAUUUUAGCAAGAGUAUCUUUCAAAUCAGAAAAAGUUUGUGCAUUUUGAUUGUUAAUAACAUCUUGCUUUCUGAUGAAUGAAUGCAUUGUGUCCUCCAGAUUUUUCCAAGGUGGUGGAACAUAUGGUGCAUAAGGCUGAGGAUUUUGAAAAUUUUGUGGAGGUGGUGCUUGUGAAGAUUGUGCAUUAUUAUUAUUCCUCCAACUGAAAUUCGGAUGAUUUUUCCAACCAGGAUUAUAAGUCUGUGAAUAUGGGUUUGGUUUAUUGAAAGUGUUAAUAACAUUAGCUUGAUCAUUUAGACAUUCUUUAAGUGCAGGCAAAGUGGGACACUCUUGAGUGAAAUGAUCAUUCGAAUUACAUAUGUUACAUGCAAUUUCUUGAACAGAUUUUACUUGAUCACUCUUUUUAUGCUCCAAAGCUUCAACUUUCCUAACUAGGGAUGCAAAUUUUGCUUGUAAAUCAUGAUCUUCCCUAAGGUUAUGGAUUCCUCCACUAGAUGGAGAUGAUUGUUGCUUAUUUGUCAAUUCAAAAGUUCCAACAGUAUCCCAAUGUUGUGCAUUUUCAGCUAAUUGGUCAAGGUAAUCUAGUGCAUCUUCAGGAUUUUUAUCCCUAAAUUCACCAUUACACAUCAUUUCAACAACCUGUCUACUUUGGGGUAUUAAGCCUUCGUAGAAAUAAGUGACCAAUCGCCAAGUUUCAAAACCAUGAUGUGGGCAUAUGUUAAGCAACUCUUUAAACCUAUCCCAACAUUGGUAUAAUGUUUCUCCAUUUUUUUGAGUGAAAGAAGUGAUUUGCCUUUUAAAAGAAUUUGUUCUAUGAGGUGGAAAGAAUUUUUUCAAAAACUGUUCUUGCAUGUUAUUCCAAGUUCUUACUGAUCCAGAUCUAAGGUUUUGUAGCCAAGUUUUAGCUUUAUCUUUUAAUGAAAAAGGAAAAAGCUUUAAUCUAAUUAUGUUCAUGCUACAAUUUUGGUCCGUGUAUGUAUUACAAACUUCCUCAAAAUCUCUUAGAUGCAAGUACGGAUUCUCAGAUUCUAAACCAUGAAAUGUUGGUAAAAGUUGGAUAAUACCUGGUUUAAAAUUGAAUCGAGAUGCUUCUGGAGGAAAUACUAUACACGACGGUGCUCCGGUUCUGGUUGGAUUCAUGUAGUCUCUCAGAGUCCUUGGUUGAUUCUGAUCAUGCCCAUGUUGAGAUUGGUUGUCUCCCUGAUCAAUUUGAGGAUUAGGUUCGCCCAAAACGUUUUCGCCUUGAUUCUCAUCCAUGAUUGGUGGUGGAGAUUGAGAUCUACGAAUUAACCUGCCACUUGAAGAUCGAGACCAAUGUCUCAUGCAAGGGUUAUGUUAUAAAGAUAAUAUUUACACAAAUUGAUAACAAAAUAAAAUAAAAAAAUAAAUAAGUAAAUAAUAUAAGUAUACAAAAGAAAAUUAAAUAACAAAAAUGGUGGUUGAACCCACCAAUUAAAAAAAUAAAAAAUGCAAAAUUAAAUAAAUACUGAAAAUUAAAUAACUGAAAAUAAAAGUUAAGGGUUAGUAGUUAGUUUGGUGGUUAAACCCACCAAUAAAGCAAAAAAAAAUAAAUAAAUAAAUAAAUAAAUACGAAAUAAAAUAAAUGCAGAAAAUUAAAUAACUGAAAUUAAAUAAAAGUUAGGAGUUAGCAGUUAGUAAGUUAAGAGUUAGUAAUUAGAGUUAGUAGUUAAAGUUAGUUUGGUCCAAAAUAAGUCCAAAUAUGUCCAAAGUAUGUCCAAAUAUGUCCAAAGUAUGUCCAAAUAUGUCCAAGUCUUGAUUAUGUUGAGGAAUUUCGUCUAGGGAUUCUAUUGCAAAUUAUUUUUAAUUUUAUGGUCAAACUAUAAUUUUUAGAAGUUUAGAAUUAGCAAUUUGGGAUGAAAGUGAAACAAUUGAAAGAUAUCGCGGUCCGAACAUAAUUACCAGAAGAUUGGGCUAGAAACGGAAAUUGUUGGGGUGAAAUUAGAAUUAUGAAAGAUAUGGGGACAAAAGAGAAUUUAAGAAAAGGAAAAGGGGGCAAACGAAAUUUUACAUAUAAGAGAAAAAUAAAAACGGAAAAACAAACCAAAUAAAAAACUUUUCCCCGGCAACGGCGCCAAAAACUUGACACAACUUAAAAGUAAAUUUUAACUCCCAAGUAUAAGAGUGUCUUGUUGUAUUAUAACUCGGUGAGUCCGAGGUCGAUCCACAGAGAAAAGAUUUAAUUAGUUUAUUUUAUUUUAUCUAAAAAUUGAAAUUAAAACUUGAAUAUAAACAACUUAAUUUAAAUGAAACUAUGGAAUUGAACUAGUUAGGGUUAUGGAUCCACUCUUAGAAAUAAAUAAAACUUAAUAAAUUCUUUUUGCCAAUUUGUUUUAGAUUUAUUACUCAAAAGAUUAAUUAUACAAAUUAUUAUUAUUUUCCCUUUAAUUUUAUGGUGGAUUAAGUAUUUAUUGUGCCAAAAUUUAAUUUGUCUACAAUAAGUCAAAAUACCAUUUCAUCAUGCCUUAUAUUAAGAUCUUAAGAAUUUAUUGUGCCAAAUUCAUUUGUUUGUCUACAAUAAAUCAAAUUUUCAAAAUAUAAAACAUGUAUAAAAUUAAAUAGAAAAUAAUUUAAUUUAUAAAAUUAAACAUAGAAUUUGAUUAAAUCCUAUUUAUUUCUUAAGAGUUUCACCUUCCCCUAACUAAUAUUAUUUAGUUAAGCAUAAUUAAAAUAAAAAGAAGUAGUAAAAUUGAAUUACUUAUAAUUAAAAGAAAUAAAAACAACUAAAAUUGGAAAUAAAACUAAUUUUAUUAAUGAAAAUAAUUAUACAAAAUAUUAAAAACACACCUGGAAAUCAAGAUUACAAGGAGAUGGAGAGAAUUUGAGAAGAAGAGAGUUGUAGAGAGAUGAUUAAAACAUAAAAAUGAGGCUCUAUUUAUAGAAAAAUAAAUUCAUAAUCCAGUGCUUUGCGGUCCAUCAUAGGCUUCAUGCAUGUGCUCCUCACAACCCUUAGAUCAAGAUCCAAUGGCUGGUCAAACUUCAAAAGUCAACAUCACACAUGGCAUCAUUUGACUCGUCCGAUUUACCCAAAGAACGGUUGAGAUUUGGCGGGUUAAUGGAUGGAUCGGGUCGACCCGAAUACAAAGAUUCGGAUCCUCCAACUUGCUUCACCAACCAUUGCCACGUGGCACAAUCAUGGCCAUUGAAUCAUGAACGGUUGAGAUUUAGUCAAGAUUGCCAAUUAUCCCAUGCACUCAUAUCUAUUGUAAGCUCAUUUCAUCAUCCAAUCAGUGCUCGGUCAACAGGAAAAGUCAACUUUUUUUACACAAGCCCAAUUUUAAGCCGAUCUUGACUGAUCUUAAGGUUUUCGGACCUCCGGAAUCCAAAUUUGACCUCCGUUUAUCUGUUUGGAGCCUCGAAGUACGUGAAAUUAAUAAUUUUCCUAAUAAACACAUAAAAAUACACAAAAUUAAAUAUAUUUAAAACAUAAUUAAUAAUUCAUAAUAUAUUACAUAAACACAAAUAUAAAUUAUAACAUAAGCAUAAAAUAACAUAUUAUCGCUUGAUAAUUAAACAAUUUUUAAUACUAAUCAUUUCUUACUUGUGGUGUCUUCCUUAAUGUACUUAGACUCCAAUAAGUCCUCUAUUUCUUUUGCUGUGGAUUUUGUUGUGGUACUUAUCAAAACAAAGUACUAGCAAUGGCAUUGUAAAUGUGUCCUAUGCACAGGUAGACAUCUUGCUUCCACUUUUGCCACACUCAAGUUUCUCAUCCUCACGUUCUUCAGGCUUUCAUAUUGUAAGAACAUAAACAACAUUGAGGCUUGUCAACAAGAAAUGUAAUGUUUUUUGCCAACGUAUAAAAGUUGUGACUAGGGGUGGGCAUGGGUUGGUUUGGGUUGGUUUUUAAGUCAAUCCAAACCAAACCAUAAAAAUUUGGAUCCAACCCAAACCAACCCAAAUAUUUUUAACCCAAACCAAACCAAACCAUUUGGGUUUGGUUUGAAUUUUAUUAUCAAAAUAAUUUUUAUUUUAAUAAAAUUUAAUUAUAUCAAAAUUAUAAUAAUUAUUAAUUGUUAUUAAUUAUUAAAUUGAUAUUAAAAUAUAAAAAAAUAUAGUGGAUAAAAAUUAUAAAUUUUACAAUAACUUAAUCCUUAAAUUAAAGAAUACUAGAAAAUCAAAAUAAAGUUUAAUCACAAAAAUUAUUAUUUCUCAAUAAAUAAGAACAUACACUUUAAUAAUAAACUUUCACAAACAUGACAUUAACAAUCUAAUAAUAAAUUAUUUUUAACAUAUAUUAUUUUUCCCCCUUCUCCUUUUAUAAUGGCCAAAAACCCCUCUAAUAGUAUAAGUUUACAAUAUUACCCUUAUUUUCAACUACUCUUUUAUUUCUAUUUAUUCUAAAUUAAAUAAAUCAUAUGAAUAGAAACUAAAUAAAAAAUAAAGCAUUAAAAAUAAGAAAUAUAUGUUUUGAUAUGAACAAAAAAAUUAAUAAUAAAAUUUUUUUAUACUUAUUUAUUUUGUGAAAAUUUUCUUAUAAUAAAUAUAUAAGAAAAUUAUUAGUCAAAUGAUAAAAAAAUUUUAUAAGAAAACUUGAAUGACAAAUAAAAAUUUAUUAUAAGAUAAAUAAUAAAAUAUUUUACCUAUACUUUUUACAUUUAAUUUUAAAAUAUUACAAAAUAUUUAUUAUAAGAAAAUGUUCACAAAAUAAAUAAUUACAAGAAAAAAUUUUAUUAUUAAUUUUUCUGCUCAUAUCAAAACAUAUAUUUCGUGUUUUAAUACUUAAUAUAGGCAUUACAUUCAAUUAUUGACCAAAAAUUAGCCGCCAUCUAGCAUAUCGGACCCAGUCCAAGCCGAGUUAUUAUUGAUCAUUAGUAGAGUCUCCUGCUCUUUCUAUGAUGAUCCUUCCAUGUGGGAGGAAUUAUUUUUGUAAAUAAGAAAAAAAAUUAUUUAUGUUAUUUACAAUAAUAUUUAUUUAAUUUAAAUUUAUUUUUACUAUUAUUUUCAUUUUCUAACUGUUGACAAUUGAUCACGCUGUAAAAAAUUUAAUGGUGGUCUUUCACUUAUUUGUGUUCAUUUAUUUUGUUUUCAUUUAUUUCAUUUGAAAAAUUUGAGUGUUGGGGUUUUGUCAAUAACCCAUGGGUAAACCAUACCCAAACCAUAAUGAAAUGGUUUUCUACAUAAAACCCAUAUCUAACCAAUUUUCAUGAUUUACCCAACCCAAACCAUUUAAUUUGGUUUGAGUUUGGAUAAACCCAUGGGUUGUGGGUUUAUGCCCACCCCUAGUUGUGACCAUCAACUGCUCUAAUUUAACAAAAUCUACUGUGAAUUGCGGAUGAGAUGAGCUCAGUGUCAUUGUUACAGAAAGAACGUCUUAUGAAUGUCGGGAAAAUAUAUUUUUAGGGAAUGAAAAAUGUAAUAAUGGCAAACGUAGAGAGUUACAGUAAUAAUGAUUAUGCCACAAAGAUAAUGAGUCAAUUAUGUAAUAAUGACAAACAUAGAGAGUUGCAGUAAUAAUGGUGGAAUUUUUUUCUAAUAAAAUAAUGAGUUUACUACUCUGUAGGUACAACGAAAAUAAUAGUAAUAAGUAAAUUGUAGAAAUUAACGUGUAUUUCAAGGCACUUUACAAAUAUUACUUUCUUUAGACGUUAUUCGCCCCCAUCAAUUGAGUGAUGAAUAUGGGUUAAACAAAUACGCAUCUACGAUACAAUGAAACACUUAUUUAUUUGUUUGCAUUGGGUAUCGACAAAAGCAAACCUAAAUACUCUUGAAUGUUGCAAGCUUGUCAAGAAUCAAUAUAAUUGUUCCUGUAGUAAACAAUAUGUUGGAUAUUUAAUGCAUAAAAUAUAGAUGUUAUAUGAUAAAAUUCGUUUUAGAAAGGAGAGUUUAGAAAAGAGUGUUAUAAGAAUGUUAUUUUCAUGUCUAAAUGGCCUAAACAUGGCCUCUAUUUAUAAAUAUAAUUGUGCCCUCCAUUUGGAUUGUCAUUUUUCAUGAUACCCAUUCGUUUAUGGUCAUUGGAUCAAGAUUUGAUUUUAAUCAAUUGUCUAAAUAAGUACAUCACCAUUUCAAAUGAAAUGACAAUGUGAAAUGAUACAUUUUUAAGUGGAAAGAUACCUUUUAUAUGGGACAAUUACUAGGACAAGUUUUUAUAAUAAAACAUCAUUUAUUUUGAAAUUGUUACAGCCCUAAGAUUAUUCUAGGUUAAGUUAAUCUAUUAUGUAUAACUUCAGAAGGUUCAUCGGUAGAUUGCUUUAAGUUUUUGUCAUAGUUUACAAAUAUUUUGUUACUUAUAAUGUAAGAAAUUUUACAAAUGUUGGUGCUGAGUAAUCUGCAUAAUUAUUAUGAAUCAGAGAAACAGGGCAGAUGUUGUACAAUUAUUGUUGUGGUGGAGCGGAAAGUUAGCCCGGACGGUGACUGCUAUUGGGAUUUCUUUAAUUUGCAGCAUAAAAGCAUUUACAUUGACAUCGACUCAAGGGUAAAAAUUAAAUAUCUCAUGUAGCAUAAGAAGAAUGCAAAAAUGCUUGAAUGAGCAUUCUCACUGAAUACACAAAAGCUACUUUCCCUUGAGCACUUUCGCAACAAAAGCAAAUGUAAAAUGUAGCAUUUAAUUCUAACAUCAAAUGGUUGAUGCCAUCGUUUCCAUCCCUUGGGGAAAUUGAAUUCCUCUAUCUGAUAUUACAGUCUGGAGCGGCUCUUAAGUACCUCAGGCAACUUAGGGCAAUUUAGGCGGUUGCUCAGGGCCCCACAUUUAACCUAGGAUCCCAUUAUAAAUGAAGGUUUCUAAGUUAAUUCUUAAAUUAUAGUUAUUAAUUAUUGAUUUAUAUUUAUUAUUUAUAACUAUAUUUUCCAUAAACAAACUACUAGAUUCUUUCAAAUCCCCUUUUAAUAUUAUAAUUAACAAUUUUAAUCCAUUUAUUUCCUCCGUAUAUUUCAUUUAAAACUCUAUAAAGGCCACACCUUUUUUAAAUUAUUAUCCAUUAAUAUCUUUUUCCAAUUAAAGAAAAAAACAAAACCUUCAUUACUUUGGUGAAAAAACUACUUUCUCUACCUUACUUUUUGCAUAAGGAAGAAAAGAAAAUCAAUCGUUUUACUUUCUUUUGAUCAUUGUUGCUCAAAGUCUCAAUCCAUCAAAGUUAAAUUUCUCAAAUUUUCAGGUUUUAUCUUCCGAUUCUCUUAUUAAUUAAUUGUGUUAUUUAGGUGUUUUUGUUUCUUUGUAAAAAUAUUAUUCUGUUCAUAGGUUGUUUUCUUUUAAUUAUCUAGCAUAAUAGUUUGCAUGAUUACUCUUGUUUCAUUAGAAAAAAAAAAUGUCUACUAAAAACUAUGCAUCAUGAUACAAAAAACUUCAUAAAAGGAGAAGAACAGAAAAGUUAGUUUAAUCUAAAAAACAAUGCUAUUGAUAAAAAAAUAUUUAAGAUCACCCAUUUCAUAAGAAAGAUUAAAUAGGUUAACUAUAUUGUCUAUUGAGAAAGAUAUAUUAGCAAAAUUAGAAUAUAAAAAGUUGACUAAUAAUUUUGCAUCUAAGAAAGUUAGAGAAAUUGAUUUUAAAUAAAUAAAACUUUAAUAAAUUAAUACAUAUAUUUCACCUCAAUUUUUUUAGAAGGCCUAAUUAAAUCAAUUUAUUUAAGACCUAAAAUAUGAUUGAGCCGCCUUGAAAUUGCAGUAAGAUAGAAAAGUGAAAUAGACAGAACACUUGCUCAUACGUAAAGAUGCGACGAAUUUGAGAAUACUUAUUAUUAUGUGCCAAAUUCCUAAUGUGUGGGAAUUUAAAAAUGUUAGUGCAUAACAUGUGUUUAUCGGUGGAGUAGAAUCAGGGAAAUUAAAGAUAAGCAUAAUUUUUGCAUCCAAUGCCAAAUUCCCCCAGGGAGAGAGUGGGGACUCCUUUGCAUAAAAGUUGUUAAAAGUUUAUUGUUAAUAAUAAAAAUAACAUGCAGAUACAGUAUUUUAGGUUAUUGUUAAUAGUUUUACAAUAAUAAAAAUCAUUUUGUUAGAUCGUAAAAUGUAGUACUCAUACUCUAUUUUGUGCAAAAGUCUGCGAGAAAGGAUUUCAGAUUUACCUAACGGGGAAGUUGGGAACUUGCUUUUUUACCUAGGCUAAAAAUAUUUCAAUAAAUUCUGAUCGUGGAGACUACCUGAAACGACCCGCCCCGAAACCCCCCAGGCGAGUCUAUCUAGUUACAUCAAAACAGACUUAAAAAUAAUAUUAUACGUAAAGAAUCUGCUGAAAAUUCGACAGAGUCUCCUUUAUAUAUAUAACACUCCCAAAGUACAAAUAUGAAUAUACAACAAACUCCAGUGCUCAACAUACUCAACCAAAAAUACUGAGUUAUAUAAUAUACAACCCCAAAAGAACAAGAUGACCAAGAUGUCCCAACAGAAACAUUUAUAUACUCUAGCACCAUCACGUGGCCAAGACUCAAAAUAUAUACAGUCGCUGGGUCGGUCUGGUGUACCUGCAACCUCCUGGUGAGGGGGGGAAAAUAUAAUAAAAACGGGGUGAGUUUAAAACUCAGUGAGAUUAGUGAGUGGAUAGUAGGUUUGAAAAUUGAUCUUUACUUUAAAAGAAAUAAGCAUAUCCAAACACGGUUUCAUUAAACCAUAAGUGAGAAAUCAGAAAUAAAUCAUUAAAUAUUUAAAUCAGAUUACCAACCAUAGAAAUCAUAUCACCAAAUCAUAUCGAUUUCACAAAUCUGAAAAUCAUAUCUCAUCAUAUCUCUGCAUGCAUAAUCUAGUCCCCAAAGGACAAAAGCGCCCAAGCACACGGCCCAAAGCCUCUGUGUGUACUCAGACGGGCCCCAAAGGCCUCCUUACAAUCAGAGCGCGCACCUCCCUUAUUACCCCUCAGUUUGGCGGGCCUCCCUUAUUACCCCUCAUCUAUAUCACUGUACUCAUAUUCACAUACCUCUUUACCACAUUUUAAAUCAUACCACAUUUGAAUCCACUUUUCUUAACUUUCAAAUAAUAUCACACUUUAUUCAAAAUCGAUACGCAAAAUUAUUAACCAAACAUUUUCAUAUAAUAUCAACAAGUGAAUAAAAUCCAUUUCGAGAAAUCAUUAAAUCAGCACAUUUAAAAAUACUUAUUCCGCAACCAUGCUUUACUAUCAUAAUUAACUCUAAAAAUAAGUUUCGUAUAUUCCACUCACAGUGACGGUGUUCAUAGUCGGUUAUCGUCUACGUCCGCGGACCGGUUCUCGCUCGCGGAUCCUCCUAAAUCAAGGAAACGACAUAAUUAUUCUCCGUAAAUCGGAAUUCCGACUAAAUAUAUGCAAUAACUCGAAACGAACAUUUAUCCAUAAUUAACAACUCCCGUGACGAUAAAAUUACUAAAAUGCCCUUGAGUCCGUAAAUCAUUAACAUGCUCCGAAAUCGUAAAUCACCGAAUUAUCCUCGAAAUCGUAAUUACACCCAAUUCACAAUUCUAUGAAUUACUGAAAUAUCCACAGGCUCAGAAAUGACAAAAUUGCCCUCAUAGUGUGAAAUUACCAAAAUGCCCUUGCCGGUCAACGGUCACCGGAAUUUGGUCAACGCUGGCCAGGAAGCUCAAAUCUUAAAGUGCCAAUCACGCUGAGUUCAAUGGUACCGGCGGUGAGCUCCAACGCGCGGCAACGACGCCGGAAUCUAGCUCGACAGCCGUGAGUUCCAACAAUCGACCGGCAGCAAAACGACGACUCUCGGUGCCUAUGAAUGGUCGGAAAUGGAAGAGGGAGUCAUGAGGAACAAAAUCCAACCGGUGGUGUCACUCAAAACCGGCGAAAAUCUCGGCGGAGUAAAGUGAAGCAGUCGCGGGUUUCAAGCUUCGAUCGCCGGCGUUCCGGUUCGUUUUCGGCAGUGAGGAUGGCAGGGGAACGACGGUCGGCUUCUAAGCUUCAGAUCGGUACCAAGCUCGGCCAAAACGGUGGUCGGAAACGUGAAAUCCGUCCGGGUUAAAGUCGCGGGUCGGGUCGGAUCCGGCGGGUCAAGAUCGGGUAAGUUGGCAGCUUCUCUCUCUCUGUUUUGCACGUGCAUGUGUUUUUCCUCUGUUUCCAACAUAUUCCUUUGCUUAUAAACUCUUUCACCGCCUCAUGCCAUUUUACAUUCACAGGUAUUACACUACCAAGAGUUUUUUUUAGUCAUAUAUAUUUAUUUUUUAGGGACCAAUAUGAAUAUUACUAAUUUUAUCGAGAUUAUUAAAAAAACAAUGUGCUAAUUUACCAAUAUGAUUUCUCCAAUCUUUUUUCUUUUCGUCAUUUAUUCCUUUGUGAAUUUGAGUUAAUGCUUGAUAUUAUUUUUGUGCUCAUUUUUUAAAGUAGAAGAUUAUGAAAAAGUGAACACACAAAAAGCAUAAAAAUUAUUAUUAGAUCCAAAUUUGUGCUAUUUCAUACAUAACUUGAGAAUAUUUAUAAUUACGCAUCACAACUAGUGGAGUAGAAUCAGGGAAAUUAAACAUUCUACAGUCAUUGACGUGUGGGGUGGGGAUAAGCAUAAACCUUUUCUAUGCAGUAUAAAAGAGUGCAAUAACUCCUUUUCUUUCAGUAUCAUCGCAACAAAAGCACAUCUAAUAACUCUUCAGAAUUCUCGUCUUCUUUGUCAGAAUGGUUGAUGCAAUCGUUUCCUCUCUCCUGGAGCAGCUGAUCUCUGUUGCGGCCGAUAAAGUGAAACAACAGGUGAGGCUUGUGACUGGUGUCCGAGAAGAAGUGAAAAAGCUUACCAGCAAUCUUCAAGCCAUUCGAGCUGUGCUGGAGGAUGCAGAGCAAAGGCAAAUGCAGCAAGACAAAGCUGUUACUUUUUGGCUGGAUCAGCUCAAAGACGCAUCCUACGACAUGGAAGAUGUGUUGGACGAGUGGGUCUUUGCAAGGCUCAAAUUGCAAAUUGAGGGCGUUGAUGAUGACAAUGCUUUUUCCCUUGCUCCUCACAAGAAGAAGGUACGUUCCUUCUUUCCUGCUGUAUCAAACUGCUUUGGUAGUUUCAAACAACUUAGUCUUCGUCUUGACAUUGCUGUCAAGAUUAGGGAAAUCAAUGAAAAGCUAGAUGAUAUUGCCUCCCAAAAAGCUAGGUUUAAAUUUGUUGAAAAUGUGAGUAACCAUGUUAAAAAACUGAAACAAGCGCGAACCACCUCCUUGAUUGAUGAGGGAGAGGUCUGUGGUAGAGUUGACGAGAAAAACGAGCUCUUAAGCAAGUUGUUGUUUGAAAGUAGCGAACAACAAAAAGGCCUUCAUGUCAUCUCACUAGUUGGGUUAGGGGGCAUAGGUAAAACCACUCUUGCACAACUGGCCUAUAAUAAUGAUGAGGUGAAAAGAAAUUUUGAAAAAGUUAUAUGGGUGUGUAUCAGACACUUUGGAGGAGAUUAGGGUUGCCAAUGCAAUCAUUGAAGGUCUAGCCGAGUCAGCUUCUAGUUUAAGCGAAUUUCAAUCUCUUCUAAGCCAUAUCCAUAGAUCAAUUGAAGGAAAAAAAAAUUUUCUUGUCUUAGAUGAUGUAUGGGAUGGGGAUUACAAAAAAUGGGAACCAUUCUUCCUAUGUUUAAAGCAUGGUCUCCACGGAAGUAAAAUUUUGGUUACUACACGUAAUGAGUCAGUUGCACGUAUGAUGGGAUCAACAAAUAUUAUUUUCAUUGAGCAAUUGACUGAAGAGGAAUGCUGGUCGUUGUUCAAGCGGUUAGCAUUUUUCGGUCACUCUUUCGAGGAUUGUGAAAGAUUAGAACCAAUCGGGCGAAAAAUUGCACGCAGGUGCAAAGGCCUGCCUCUUGCUGCAAAGGUAAUAGGGAAUCUCUUGCGCUCUAAAAGUACAAUAAAAGACUGGCAAAGAAUUUUAGAUAGUGAAAUGUGGAAGGUAGAAGAGCUAUGGAAAGGUCUUUUGACUCCUUUAUUGUUGAGUUAUAAUGAUUUGUCGUCCAAUUCUAUGGUAAAACGAUGUUUUUCAUAUUGUGCUGUCUUUUUGAAAGACUACAAUAUGUAUAAAGAGGAACUAAUUUCACUAUGGAUGGCUCAAGGUUACCUUAAUGCAGAAGAAUAUGAAGAGAUGGAGAUUACUGGGGAAGAGUGUUUCAACAUUUUAGCAGCACGCUCUUUCUUUCAAGAGUUUGAGAAAAAUGAUGAUGAUGAUAUUAUGAGUUGCAAGAUGCAUGACCUAGAACAUGAUUUUGCUCAAUUUGUAAGUAGCAAUGAAUGUUUGUGGCUAGAAUUUAGUGGUACCAGAGAAUCAGUCAUAAACCCUUUUGGUGAGAAAGUCCGUCACUUAGGGUUAAAUUUUAAAGAAGGCGCUUCAUUUCCUAUGUCCAUUCAUGGACUUAAUAGAUUGCGUACCCUCCUAAUUGAUGAUGAAAGUCCUUUCAAUUCAUCUCUUAAUAAUAGCAUCCUUCCAGAGUUAUUUAGUAAUUUGGCGUGUUUGAGGCCAUUAGUUAUAAGGCAAUCAUCCUUGCUUUUUCGUUAUCCCCCAAAUGGGAUUAGAGAAAUUCCAGAAAAUGUCAGAAAAUUGAUACAUUUGAAAUGUCUUAAUUUGUCUGAAUUACACAUAAAGAGACUACCUGAGACUUUGUGUGAAUUAUAUAAUUUACAAAAGCUAGAUAUUAGGGGGUGCCGAAAUCUAAGAGAAUUGCCUGUGGGGAUCGGGAAGUUAAAGAACAUGAGGAGUUUACUAAAUGGUGUUACUCGUUCGUUGAAGUACAUGCCAAUAGGGAUUUCCAAAUUAACCAGUCUUCGAACAUUAGACAAGUUUGCUGUGGGUGGAGGUGUUGAUGGUGGCAGUACGUGUAGGCUUGAAUGUCUGAAAAAUUUUCGACUCAUUCAAAAAUGUGGAAUAGAAGGGCUGAGUAAUGUGUCACAUUUAGAUGAGCCUGAGAGAUUAGAACACAAAAAUAUGGAAAACCUCCUUCAUUUGUAUCUUUUGUUUGAAGUUGUAGAUUAGGAAGAUAAAGAAGAGGAUGAAGAUGAAGGUGGGGAAGAUGAAGGUGAAGAUGGAGGAUAUGAAGAAGAAGGAGGUGAAGUUGUAAAUGUGGAAGAUGAAGAAAGGAGGAGGAAGAAUGAGAAAGAUGAACAACUUCUUGAAGCCUUAAGCCGCCUUUGAAUGUAGAGGAAUUAUGGAUUUUAUUAUAUGGAGGCAGCAUUUUUCCCAAAUGGUUGACUUCGCUAACCAAUCUAAGGAAUUUAUUUCUUCACGGGUGUCUUAACUGUGAGCAUUUGCCUCCUCUGGGAAAAUUGCUUCUGGAAAAACUCGCCCUGCAAAAUUUGAAUAGUAUAAAAAGAGUGGGCAAUGAGGUUUUGGGAAUAGAGGAAAGUAGUGAUGAUGACCCGUCUUAAUCUUCAUCAUCAUCAUCAGUUAUUGCCUUCCCCAAAUUGAAAUCACUCAAAAUUUGGGACAUGGAAGAAUUGGAAGAGUGGGAUUACAGGGUUACGAGGAAGGAAAACAUCUCCAUCAUGCCACGUCUUUCUUCCUUGGAAAGGUGUUGCCAGAUGACCUUCUUCAAACGUCGACACUGCAGGAAUUGAGUAUUGGGGGAUGUCCUAUUUACUUCAGUGUACGAUAAUUUGUUACGUGAAACUUCUUGAGAGACUGAAUUUCUGGGGUACUUUGUAGUAAUGUUGAAAACUAAGUGAUGGCUGGGUCUGCUCUGUUUCAGUUGAGGAUGGUUUGCUUCCUGGAAGACAUGCUGAUUAUUAUUGCAUGAUAUUAAGGUGCUGAGAUCAUCAUUUCUAUCUUGUUUCUUUCUUUGAUCGGUUUAUCCUCUAUAAGCAUAUGGAAUUAUGCUAGUAUUAUCACUUCUUCACUCAAUUUUCACUGUUGGUUGUAAUAACCAUUUCAGGUUCUCAAAAGCCUCAAAGCAAAGCAUCUUUGGGCUGAUCAUAUAUUUCAAUUGACGAAGCAAUUCGAUGUUGGCACUAUUAUGCAGGUAACCAGAGUUGAUAAUUUGCACAAAUUUGCAUUGUCAGAAUACCCUUCAUAUUCACUGUGUUUCUUUGUGUAGGUAUGUAGAGUAUCAUCUUCAAGGGUUGUAAGAGCCUUUGCAGUAAAUUUAGCUGCUCGUGCAAUUGCUCAUUCAUCGGAGUACAAUUUUGGAUUUUCAAGGUUUGUAUGCUCAGUUGUAAUUAAAAUGCUUAGUCACUUAUUCCUAAUCUUUCUGAUUUUCAAGUUGUUUUAGGUCCAUAAACAGUUUUCAAACAUGUUUCAAUGCUUCUUGUAAUGACAAUUUCAUAUCUUGCAUCUCUAACGUGCAUCACGUUUGAAACAGCUUUCGCGGUAAAGUCUUCGAUGCUUCUACAAUGGCUGUGAAGAGGCACAUUAAAUUCGGUACAUUUUGGUACGGCCUCCCAAUGCUGGUAUAAUGUUGUGUAUAUUUAGUUUGCAAUUAAAACUUAGGUAUACAAAUCUUAAUCUGCAAUAGAUCGUAGUGUACAAAGUUUUCUAUUAAUGAUAUGGUGACUGAAAGUUUAAUUAUCUUAAAAUUUUUCUAUGACUCUCUUUUACUUUCUUUGUACAGAGUACCUGUUUUGGCUGAUGUGUCUAAUUCAUAGAAAUUCAUUUCCAUCGGUUUCCAUUGGUUUGAGCACAAACAGAAACAGAGGUCUGAGGAAAAGUUUUAUUUCUUGCGGUAUUAUGCCUUUGUUUCUUUAUUCACCAUAUUUGUUCGAAUUCAUGCCCUCAUUAAGAAUUUAAAGCCUUUUCCAGGCAGCUUUGUAGGCUACCUUAUGAAAUUGGAAAGUUAUUAUUGCUUGAAUGCAAGCACCGUCUUCUGUUGCGAAGGCUUUCCCCACAUGAUGAGAUGCUGUGAUUGUUACCGGACCCUUAAUUAUUUAACUCAGGAUUUUAUCAUCAACCACAUCAUCUUAUUCACCAUUUUGGAUAUAUAUAAAGAUUAAAAUUUCUAACAGUUGUUUCGGAUUCUUGUGUAAUCAGAUAAAUGGGGCAAAUGUCAGAACAAAGAUUGUUCAGUGUUGCUGGUAGGGCAAGGAUGAUGAUGGUGAGGAAGAUUGUUCACAAGCCAAGUAGAGCUAGGGAUGGCAAAACAUCGGGUCGGGCUCGGGCUUGGCCAAACCCGACCCGACCCGAUCAACAAAGAAUUAAAGCCCGACCCUAAAAAAGCCCUACCUAUUUAUAAUUAGGGUUGGGUCGGGCUCGACCCGAAUCGGACCAACCCUACCGAAAUCUAUAAUAGCAACAGCCACCACAGAGCUAUUUUCCAAAUUCACCAAAUCGAACUCUGAAAAUCCAAUCAAACUUUGGCUUAUAAAGCCAAAAUCAUUGCUUAAUUAAACCUAUACAGAAAAUAAUACUUCCACUCGCUGAAGAUUUUCCUCGAGUCCUCAUAUGUUUCUCUGUUUACUUGUCUACGAACAGCAAACAAGAAGUUUGCUAUUUCAUAUCAGUGUCGCACAAUAAAAUAAUUAAUUAAACAAAUUAUUAAAUUUACAAAGAAAUCAAUCCCUAAGCUGGUAUAGCAUCCACUAGACUACUCUUUUUAAUCGUUAAUUAAUAAAUAGUUACUGAUCUAUAACAAAUUCUUUCCAUCACCACAAAAAUAAAAUAAAAAUUCAUUGCCAUCUAAUUGGAUUAUAAGAUACAAUAACAAUUGGCAAUUGUAUUGCCAUCUAAUUUCAUUACCUAAACUUAAUUAUAAGAAACAAAUUGGCUGCUGGAAUAGAGGACAUAAAGAAGUCAAAAAUUGAACUUACAAUUUUGGUCAUAAACUUAAUUUGAACUUACAAUUUUGGUCGGAAAUAAUUACAGAACCGAUCGAGAGUAUUGCUGGUUUUAUGGGUAAAUAAAAAAUUGUAUGCAGUGCGGCGACGGGCGGCUGGCUGGUUCACUCACGUCGCGGCGUCGCGGACGGUCACGAUGGCGGAUUGGCGGUGAGANNNNNNNNNNNNNNNNNNNNNNNNNNNNNNNNNNNNNNNNNNNNNNNNNNNNNNNNNNNNNNNNNNNNNNNNNNNNNNNNNNNNNNNNNNNNNNNNNNNNNNNNNNNNNNNNNNNNNNNNNNNNNNNNNNNNNNNNNNNNNNNNNNNNNNNNNNNNNNNNNNNNNNNNNNNNNNNNNNNNNNNNNNNNNNNNNNNNNNNNNNNNNNNNNNNNNNNNNNNNNNNNNNNNNNNNNNNNNNNNNNNNNNNNNNNNNNNNNNNNNNNNNNNNNNNNNNNNNNNNNNNNNNNNNNNNNNNNNNNNNNNNNNNNNNNNNNNNNNNNNNNNNNNNNNNNNNNNNNNNNNNNNNNNNNNNNNNNNNNNNNNNNNNNNNNNNNNNNNNNNNNNNNNNNNNNNNNNNNNNNNNNNNNNNNNNNNNNNNNNNNNNNNNNNNNNNNNNNNNNNNNNNNNNNNNNNNNNNNNNNNNNNNNNNNNNNNNNNNNNNNNNNNNNNNNNNNNNNNNNNNNNNNNNNNNNNNNNNNNNNNNNNNNNNNNUGUUAUUAGAGUGAGUAGAAAUUAAGCACAUAUCUGCGAUUUGGGUUGUCGGUGAAUGUUUUCCUUUAAUAUUUGUACACACCCAUUUCUUAGUAAAAUUUUCUUCAUGUCUAUUACUAUGACAUAGGCUAAUAGCCGUACCAUAUAACAUUAUCUUCUUAUUUCUUUAUGCUUGGUUUUGCUACAUAUCAUUUCUGUACAUUCAAGAAUGCAAUUUUGUAACUACUUAACUCUGCUUCGGCAAAGUUAAGUAGUUACAAAAUUCUUUUUUUUUUCCUUUUUCUUUCUCCGAUAAAAUUGCCACAAAUGGAAGCGAUUGGCUUGAUUUUUGCUUCUGUAAAAAGUGGUGGGAGCAAUGUCUUGUGUACCCGCAAGUUAUAAAUCGUCAUAGUUUAAAUGAAGAAUCCAGAGUUGCCAUCCAAAACUAAAGAAAUUGCAAAUUAAGUAGUUCAUUACAAAUGAUAUAUUUUGAGUUGCUAAUUAUUAAGUAUUUUAUUCAAAAAUGUUCUCGUUCCCACAAUUCCUAAUGUUUAAAGUGCAUCAUUGCUCUACUUCCGUCAUAACAGCAUAAGAGAAUUUAACAUAAUACUAAGAAAAUGAUUAUUUUACCCUAAAUGUAAAUGAUUAUUCUACCCUUGACAUAAAAUAACUAAUUUGCCCUAAUUUAAUAACGAAAAAAAUAGAUGACUGCAAUAUAGAUAUUAAAUAAUAAAUAAAAUAAAAAAUCAGAAUUAAGCUAAUUUGUUCAAGACAAUAUCUUUAGUUGGCAUGUAAUUUUCAUUAGCCGGCGUCUACUCUUAAUUUAUGUCAAAUUAAGUAAUCGCUUCGCCCCAAUAAUGUUGCCUUUGAUCUCUCAGCCCCAGUAAAAGAAUUGGCUGAAAGAGAAUGUUGGUCACUGUUUAAGCAAGUAUGCUUUUGGCGGUCCUUUGAGGAUCUUCAAAAUUUAGAACCAAUCAAAAAUAAAAAAUUUCAUACAAGUGUAAAGGCUUGCCUCUUAAUGCAAAGGUAAUACGAAGUCUCUUGCUGACAUAUACAUCCUUUACUUUAUAAUCUUUUACUUUUGCUCUUAAGCUAAAGCAUUAAAAGGCCCCAUAUCCACUCUUUAUAUAUAUAUAGGGAGAAUGACAAUUUUCUCCCAUACUAUAAUCAAUAUAUAUCAUUUACGUCCUACUUUUUUAUAAUAACCAAUAAUCCUUGGAUAGCAUAAUUUAACAAUAUUAUUUUUGGUUUAUUUUAAUUUUUGUUCAUUUGAUUUCAUAGUAGUAGUUUUCAUUUUUUUAGUUUAAAAUUUGUAAAAUGAACUAAAAUGAGAUAAUUUUGAAAAAGAAUCAAAACAAAAAAAGGCCCAAAAUUACCCCUGUUCCGAACAUUAUCUGAAUCCAUCAUAAUUGACCCAAAUUCAAAUUUAACUCAAACCCAACCUUGGCCUCAUAUAAUUAUAACCUGAUCCGAUCUAGACUCAACCCCAAAGUUUUGAUUUGAUCUAAUCCAAUUCGAAUAUUCCAAGCCAAUCAACCUAAAACCCAAUCAAGUUGAUCCAAACCCAAAUUUGCGCACUCCUAGAGGGGACCAUCACCCUAUAAGCUUUGAAUUUUUUUUGAGGUUUUUAAAUGAAAUAUUCAAAAUUAGGUAUAAAAUGACUGAUUUGCCCUGGAAUACUUGAUACAUAUAAUGAAACUUUAAUUGUAUAUUUUGUGAAAUAAAAUCAAUUAAACCUGAUUUUUUUAUUUGUUAAUUAUUUUUCAUAGCCUUUUUUAAAAGUUUGUAAGUUUGGGCCUACCUCUUUGAUUUUUAUUUUGUUCAUUUUGCUUUCUCUUGCAACAAUAGUUUCAAAUACCAGUCACAAAAUUCUCAAAUUUUGGAAUACCCUACAUACUAGCUAUAAAUAGAAAAAACUGAAUAAAAUUAAUCCCCAACUAACACUUGAAAUUUGAACUUGGGCCUCAUGAAGAUUUACUCAGAGCUCCGCCCCUGAUAUGCAAUAAAAUAUUAGUUUUGCUAGUGAAAUUGCCAAUUAUGUUUUUUUUUUUUGUAUUUUCCGCUUAGGGAAGAAGAAAUUUCCUACAACUAUUGUGGUGAAUAUCUUGUGAAUUUAUGACAGUUUAAUCUUUAGUUUGCCACUUGCUUAAAAUGAAAAAGGGAAAAGGGUAUUUAUAUCUCUAAGGUUUGGAGAAAUAGUCACCAACACUACAAGUUUUUUAAAAAGGACAUCAAGACUCCUUUUUGACCACAAUACCCUUUACCUUUAGUAUCUCGAAAAAUUUAACUUGCAAAUGAAUAAAUACAAAUAUUAUAUAAAUAAUGUAAUCUACGUUGUAGAUUAAUAAUAUUAAAAUAUUAAAAUAAAUUUAAAUAUGUAAAUUAAUAUAUUUAUUUAAUAAUAUAUUUGUAUUUAUUGUAGAGAUUUUAAAUAAAUAUUUGCAUUAAAUACAUUUUACAAUUAAAAAAGUCUCACAUACUAAUAAUGUUAAAAUUAUUAUUUUACAUAAUAAUUUAAAUUUUAAUACAUUUAUUUUAAUAUUAUGUUUACAUUUAUCAUAAAAUUUACUUUAACAUAAUAAAAUAUAUUAAUAGAUUGUAAAAUAUUAAAAUAUUUUUAAAUAUUGAAAUUAUUUUAAAAUGUAUAAAUUAUUACAUUUAUUUUAAUAUUAUAUUUCUCUUUACUAUAAAAAAUUAAAGUUAACUUUUGGGAUAAUAAAGGUAAAGGGUAUUGUAGUAAGAAAGAAGUUUUAGUAUCUUUUCUUGAAAACUUAAGAGCGUUGGUAACCAUUUCUCCAAACUUUGGGGAUAUAAAUGUCUUUUUCCUAACAAAAAAUGACAUUUUUAAUAGGAAAUAUAAUAAGCUUUGUUCUAUAGAAAAAUCCAUCAGAUAUAUUAUGCCCCCGGUUGCUAUGUUAAAAAUAAGUAAUUCUUCUUUUUGUAUAUUAAAAUAGUAAAAGGGUGGAUAAUAUUUAAAUUUUUUUUUUACCUUUUAUCUUUUUUGACAUUCGAAUUUUAAACUCGAGAAAUAGACUUCCUGAGAGGUUAACUAAAUUCUUAGUAAUUUGAUAUAAUUUCAUAACCGUUCUCCAAAAGCAAUUUUAUAAAUCAUUGUGGAAAAGCUUUAUUCCUUAGUUAUCUUUCGCAUAUUUUCUUUGUAGUAUGAUAUUUAUUAAAAUCAUUAUGGGACUGAUUUUAUUCUCUUUUUUUUCUCAACAAAAUAUCCGACUGCAGAUGUAAUAAAUUACUAAUUACAAUUAUUUGAGUCCCACUCUAAAUUAGAUUUUGAAAUAAAGUUACAUUCUCAAAUGACCAAAUGAAUUAACGAGUCUGACAAAAAGAUGUUGUCGGCCAAGUUGAAAAAUAUAAUAAAUAAAUUGUCAGGAGAUGAUUUUUUCUGAAAUUUCACUUUCAAGGUCCAGAACACAUUCAAAUUUCCGUUGAAAUUCAUAAUGGAUUCAUAUGAUCGGGCGAAAUUACACUAUACAAUUUCAUCAAUACCUAUUAAACGAUAAAAAAUUUAUUGAUUAUUUAUAAUUAAAAAAAAUCUAUCUACUAAGACUAUUCUAGAUCAACAAUUAAUAUAUUAAAUAUAACUUCAGAAGGUUCAUCGGUGUAUUGAUCUAAGCCUUUUGCAGUAGUUUAUAAAUAUUUUGUUGCUUAUAAUGUAAGAAAUUUUACAGGAGUUGAUGCUGAGUAGUCUGAAUAAGAAAAUUAAUUAUAUUGUAAGUUAUUGGGUAUUCAUAAUAAAAUAAACAAAUAAAAAAUGAAUAAAAAUUUAAAUACUUAAUUAAUUUUUAUCAAAUUCUUAUCAAAUAUUUAAAAUAUAUAUAAAAUCAAUUAAUUGAUGAUGUUGUUAAUUUUCAUGAUAUUUUUAAUAUUAUAUUAGUGAUUAUUAAAUUUAAUACAAUCAAUAAUGCUAUAAAUUAUUAAAUGGUUAAUUUUAUUGACAAAUUAUCAAAUAUGCAAAUAAUGAAAAAUUAAUCUCAAGAGUUGGUAGAAGUAAAGUUCCAAUUUAAUCAGAUGAUAGAUAAUAAAUAAAAAUAAUUUUUAAGUAAAUUAUAAAUUAAAAAAUAAUUAAUAUUAAGUAUAAAUAAACAAUAAUGAUAGAAAUUAAAGUCUCAUAAGAGUAUCUCCAAAAGACUCUUCAAAUAAGAUUCUACUUCUUAUUUGAAGAGCCAUAUCAAUAUUUAACACUCCAAAAGACACGUUAAUUUAGAUUCUUCAAAUAAGAUUUGUUUCUCACUCUUCAAUAUUGCCGAGUGAGUUUCUCCCUCUUCUAUUAAUAUUUUAUUAUUAUUUAUUGAAAAGAUAAGACUGCAAUAAUUAUUAUUUAUGUUUCUUUUAAAAAAUAUAAUAACAAUACAAUUUGAUAGUGGGAAAAUUUGAUUAAAAUAAUAUUAAUUUAUUCUUAUUUGGUGAGUCUUUUGGACGGGAUUAUAUUUUUUUAUACACUUAUUUGCCACAUCAGUAAGCAAAUUGAAAUUUAAAGAGUAAAAUUUAAAGAUCCUUUUGGAGAUGCUCUAAAUAGAUAACUUUUUUUCUUUAAUUUUAUCCCAACUAAAAUCAUGUGUAAAUUAGAAUGAUUAAUCCCAUAAUUGUAGGAUGAAACUUAAAUUUAGUCCCCGAGUCCAAUUCAAUUAAGUUUAACAAACAUGAGAUAAAUAUUUAAUCACAAAAUUAGUCCAAUUUCGUACUUAAUCCUAGUAUAUGAACAUGGAUUGAUAAAAUAAUUUAGGUAAUAUGCUUCUAUGACUUACAAUUUAAAUAAAUUUGAGAAUUUAUAUAAGGGAUGGAAAAUUCAUAAUAAUCAUAACAUGUGCUAUCUUUUCUUCCUUUUCUUAAUUAAAUAAAAGAAAAAUAUUCAUCACAGAACCACCGCUGUUUAAAAUGACCCGAUGAUCGAUGAAGUCGCAUUCGCCUAUCUAAUAUUGCGCAAUCAGAUAAAUUCUCAAAUUUAAAAUGAAUUUAAUCUGCAAUUAUAUCAAUAACUACACAAUAAAGAUUAAAAAAUUUCAAAUUAUACUUGAGUUAAAAUUUAAUUCUUUUUUAUUGUUUAAAGUAAUUUAUUUAUAAUUAUUUUAACCCAAUUAGAUUUAUUUUUUUUAAUGCUUGUUCUAUGACAGAAUUGGUCCUCAAAGUUUAAUUAAGCUUGAGAUGGAUACUCUCAGCAAUUUAUUACCUAUUUUAUUAGAAUCUAAGAGGAAAAGAGAGUUGCGAUUUGUAUGUGUAGAAAGAAAAUGUCAAAACGAAAUGUUAAUGUCACUUGUAGAGAGAGAGUUGGGACUGAUGACCAUAUACAUUUUUCCGCCCCUAAUAAGAGCUUGCUUGACGAUAGUGAAGAACUAAUGAGACUGAGGAUCUGCAAUUUAGUCAUGAAAAAUUAGUGACUAAAUACAACUAAAUUUCAGUUUUCUCUUUCUAAUUUCUUUGGGAUCCAGAAAAAAACAUUUCCCCCUCAAUUUUCUGUUUGCAAGGGGGUAACUGUAAGCACAGUCUGAUUUUAUUUUCAGGGAAUAAUAUCGGUGAACCACCGUCGGGAAAAAUUUGAAGUCUAAACAGGUCAUUCACAGAUAAGGCCAAAGAGUAAAACAGGUCGUUCAUCGUGCGUUUGGAUUCCUUUCAUCUUGUUAAUUAUUGAAGACAAGAUGAAAACGCAACUAAUGGGGGCCGUGUAUGGUGUAUAAAAUAGCAUUAAUUGUUGUCUGUGUUUGUUGUUUAAUGCUAUUUUAUACACCAUACAUGGCCCCAAUUCCAAUUAGGGGAAUUCAAUAUUUUAAUUUUUUGCAAGAUGACUUUCAUCUAUCUCAUUGGCAGGCCGGCCAAGACAGUAAUCAUCCAUUUCAUCUUAUGAAUUAUUGAAGACACGUAGCUGUUCGACGCCUGCACUUUUCAAAUCUGAAGAGCAAUUAGACAAUAUUUCUAUUUCAAAUUGGGGCCACACUCCAAAAACAUUGCAAUAAUUCUCUGUUUUAUACCUAAUAUUGCGCAAUCAGAUAGAAAAAAGGGUCGGCUGCAUGAUUUUUCCAACUUUUGUUUUAUUUUUUCUCUUUUCCACGGGCAUGGGCCCCGACCACCACAAAAUAAUUUGAGAAUGUUAUAUUUAACAAUUCUCUUUUUGUCGUGACAUAAUGGACUAAAACGGAAUCACAACUUUUUCAAAUGACCAAAUGGCUUCGCCCAACGUGAUAAUAAAAGGCCAUAUAGAUGAGAAAUGGAUCCAUACGUUAAAGCUAUAUUGAAACAUAUAAUAAAUAAAUAGUCAGGAGAUGAUUUUUAUCAAAAAUUUCACUCGCACGGUCCCGACCAAAUACAAAUUUGUGAUGAUAUUCAUAAUGAAUUUAUACAAUUAGGCGAAAUUACUCUAUAUAGUUCCAUCGAUAUAUAUUAUAUCAUUAAAAAUAUACUAAUAUUUAUAAUAAAAAAAAUUUAUGACUAUUCUAAAUCGACUGUAUUAUAUGUGAACUCACAAGAUUCAUCGAUAGAUUGCACUGAGCUUUUUGUUGCAGUUUACAAAUAUUUUGUUACUAAUUAUCUUAAGAGCGGCAAGUAACUAAAUACAAAUGUAAGAAAUUUUACAAGUGCUGAUGCUGUGUACUCCGCAGAAAGCUAGCCCACGACGGUGACUCCUGUGGGGACUCCUUCAAUUUGCAGCACAAAUUGACAUUGACUUGAGGGUAAAAAUUAAAAUAUCUCCAAUUAGUAUAAGAAGAAUCCAAACAUGCUUGAAUGAACAUUCUCUCAGAAUACAUAAAACCUACUUUUCUCAGAGCAUUUUAGCAGCAAGAAAAGCAAUUGCAUCAUUUACCAUUUGAUCUAAUAUCAGAAUGGCUCAUGCGCUCGUUUCCUCUCUCUUGGACCAGCUGAAUUCCAUUGCUCAAGAUCAGGUGAAAGAAAAGUGGAGGCUUGUGACGGGUGUCGAACAAGAAGUGGGAAAGCUUACCACCAAUCUUCAAGCCAUUCAAGCUGUGCUGGAAGAUGCAGAGCAGAGGCAAAUGAAGCAGGACAAAGCUGUUACUUUUUGGCUAGAUCAGCUCAGAGACGCAUCCUACGACAUGGAAGAUGUGUUGGAAGAGUGGAUCACUGAAACACGGAAAUUGCAGCUUGAUGAGCGAGGCGAUGAUGAUGAUGAUGAUAACGACAGUGCUUUUGUUACUUUUUUGACGAAGGUAUGUUCCUUCUUUCCUGUUGCCUCAAACUGCUUUGGUGGUUUCAAACAACUCAGCCUUCGUCAUGAUAUUGCUGUCAAGAUUAGAGAAAUCAGUGAAAAGCUAGAUGUUAUUGCCAGACAAAAAGAUAGUUUCAAAUUUGUUGAGAAUGUGAGUAACAAUGUUAGGAAACCAGAGCGAGUGCGAACCACCUCCUUGAUUGAUGAGGGAGAGGUUUUUGGUAGAGUUGAUGAGAAAAGUGAGCUAUUAAGCAAGUUGUUGGGUGAAAGUAGUGAACAACACCCUCAUAUCAUCUCACUGGUUGGGUUCGGGGGUAUAGGUAAAACCACUCUUGCACAACUAGCCUAUAAUAAUGAUGAGGUGAAAAGAAAUUUUGAAAAAGUUAUAUGGGUGUGUGUAUCAGACACUUUUGAGGAGGUUAGGGUGGCCAAAGCAAUCAUUGAAGGUCUAGGCGAGUCAAAAGAAGCUUCUGAUUUAAGCGAAUUCCAAUCUCUUAUGAGCCAUAUCUAUAGAUCAAUUGGAGGAAAAAAAAUUUUUCUUGUCUUAGAUGAUGUAUGGGAUGGGGAUUCCAAUAAAUGGGAUCCAUUCUUCUUUUGUCUAAAGAAUGGUCUCCACGGAAGUAAAAUUUUGGUUACCACACGUAAUGAGUCAAUUGCACGUAUGAUGGGAACAACAGAGUCAGAUACUAUCUCCAUUGAACAACUGGCUGAAGAGGAAUGCUGGUUGUUUUUCAAGCAGUUAGCAUUUUUUGGUCGCUGUUUCGAGGAUUGUGAAAAAUUAGAACCAAUCGGGCGAAAAAUUGCAUGCAAGUGCAAAGGCCUGCCUCUUGCUGCAAAGGUAAUAGGGAAUCUCUUGCGCUCUAAAAUUACAGUAAAAGAGUGGCAAAGAAUUUUAGAUAGUGAAAUGUGGAAAGUAGAAGAGAUUGGGCAAGGUCUUUUGGCUCCUUUGUUGUUGAGUUAUAACGAUUUGCCCUCCAAUUCGAUGGUAAAACGGUGUUUCUCAUAUUGUGCUGUCUUUUCAAAAGACUACAGUAUGAACAAAGAAGAAUUGAUUAGUUUGUGGAUGGCUCAAGGUUACUUUAACGUAGAAGAAGACGAAGAAAUGGAGAUGAUUGGAGAAGAGUAUUUCAACAUCUUGGCAACACGCUCUUUCUUUCAAGAGAUUGAAAAAGAUGAGGAUGAUGAUGAUUUUAUGAGCUGUAAGAUGCAUGACAUAGUACAUGAUUUUGCCCAAUUUGUAUGUAGAAAAGAAUGUUUGUGGCUAGAAAUUGAUGGUAACAAAGAAUCAGUCAUAAAUUCUUUUGAUGACAAAGUCCGUCACCUAGGAUUAAAUUUUGAAGGAGGCGCUCCACUUCCUAUGUCCAUUCAUGGACUUAAUAGAUUGCGGACCCUCCUAAUUGAUGAUGGAAGUUUUCUCUAUCCAUCUCUUCAUAGUAGCAUCCUUCCGGGGUUAUUUAGUAAAUUGGCGUGUUUAAGGGCAUUAGUUAUAAGGCAAUCGUCCUCAUUUUCUGAUCCUAGCCCAUAUUUGAUUACAGAAAUUCCAGAAAAUGUUGGAAAAUUGAUACAUUUAAAAUAUCUUAAUUUGUCUAAAUUAUGUAUAGAGAGACUGCCUGAGACUUUGUGUGAAUUAUAUAAUUUACAAAAGCUAGAUAUUAGGGGUUGCGUAUAUCUUAGAGAAUUGCCUGCGGGGAUUGGGAAGUUAAUGAACAUGAGGAGUUUACUGAAUGGUGAAACUGAUUCGUUGAAGUACCUACCAAUAGGGAUUUCUAGAUUGACCAGCCUUCGAACAUUAGAAAAGUUUGUUGUGGGUGGAGGUGUUGAUGGUGGCGGCACGUGUAGGCUUGAAUCUCUGAAAAAUCUUCAACUCCGUGGUAAAUGUUGUAUAGAAGGGCUGAGUAAUGUGUCGCAUGUAGAUGAGGCUGAGAGGUUACAACUUUACAAUAAGAAAAACCUCCUUCGUUUGUAUCUUGAGUUUGGUGGAGCCGUAGAUGGGGAAGGCGAAGCAGGGAGGAGGAAGAACAAUGAGAAAGAUAAACAACUUCUUGAAGCCUUACAACCGCCUUUGAAUGUAGAGGAGUUAAGGAUUAUAUUCUACGGAGGCAACAUUUUUCCCAAAUGGUUGACUUCACUAACCAACCUAAGGGAUUUAAUACUUUUCUUCUGCGUUAACUGUGAGCAUUUGCCUCCUUUAGGAAAAUUGCCUCUGGAAGAACUCGGACUAUUGAACUUGAAAAGUGUAAAAAGAGUGGGAAAUGAGUUUUUGGGAAUAGAAGAAAGCACUGAGGAUGAUCCAUCUUCAUCUUCAUCGUCAUCAUCAGUUAUUGCCUUCCCCAAAUUGAAAUAUCUCGAAAUUUGGGGAAUGGAAGAAUUGGAAAAGUGGAAUUACAGGAUUACAAGAAAGGGAAACAUCUCCAUCAUGCCACGUCUUUCUGCCUUGUCGAUUUGUGAUUGCCCCAAAUUAAAGGUGCUGCCGGAUUACAUUCUUCAAACAACGACACUGCAGGAAUUGAGGAUUGAGGACUGCCCUAUUCUAGAAGAACGUUACAGAGAGGGGAAAGGAGAAGACUGGCAUAAGAUUUCUCACAUUCCCCACAUCAAGUGGUCGCCGUAAGAUAUCACUCGCCGGUAAUUCCUCCUCCUCUGAUUUACUUCGUUAUUGCUUGUAAUGAAAUUAAUGAAAAUAAUUAUAUUUUGAAUUAAAAUUCUAUAUUAUUAUUAUUUCUCUCCUCGAAUGGUUGAAAUUUCACUCGCCCCGUAAAUUCUCGAAUGGUUGCAAUUACUAUCACCCGCCGGUAAUUUCUCUCCUCUGUUUUACUUCAACCAUUAAUUUAAUGGGUCACUCUAUGAUGUUGUUAUAAAAAUUAUAGAAUCAAUCAUGGUAUAAAUAUGUACUGUUAGAUUUAAUCAAUGGUUCAUGAAGUUAAAAGUUAAUUAGGAUAAUAUUUUAAAUUCAAUUAUUUAAAAUUUAAACUUCCUAGUUAUUAAAUCUAUUAAACUUGUUUUAUCAAAGCUAAAUAAUUAAAAAAAAAGUAUAGUCUGUUGAAAUUUCUAUAUUUUCUUUUAAAAAACAUGUAGUCUUUUGUAAAAUUUCAUACAACAUCAUAGAAAACCUAACGUAUUUUAUUUUUUAAUGCACGAAAAUUUGUUAUGUGUAACUUCCUGAGAGACAAAAUCUCUGUGAUGCAUUUGCAGUAAUGUUGAAAACUAAAUUAUCAAUUUUAUCUUGUAUAAUGAUAAUCGUGUUUUUUUAUAUAUAAUUUAUGUGACAUUAAUUCUUUAAAGUAAUUGUGUAAUUGUUUUUAGUAGUACAUUAGCCCACUUUGUUUUAUUUCAUACGAGUUUAAUAAUGUUCGCCAGGGAUUCGAGGAAAUGUCAGAACUACACUAAGAAUUCACAGGUCCAAGCUAAUUUAGUUUUAAUGAUGCAGGUAGGAGAGCAAGACUAAGAAAAUGAAAAGUUUAGCCAAAAGAUUACUAAAAUGUUCUGCUGGUAAUUCACUUGCCUUGUUUAAUAGAAUUUCAUUUCCAUCUUCUUCUAUUGAUAUCUUGUUGUGAAUAAACAAGAACAUAGAAGUAAAUAAUUGAAACGCAGAGAAGUAAAGAUAUAUCAAAAUUCGCUAUUAUGAUGAUGUUAAAGCAAGCUCAAGCAUUGCAUUUUUAUUUUAUUUAAUUUAUAGAAUUUUCAUUUCCACCUGCAUUGCAUUUUUACUUCAUUUUUAGGUUGACGUUGAAGACUCUUAUGGAGAACAUUGGAGUAACCAAGGAUUAUUACUGUGGUUAUUGUGCAACGUUUGGUUGCUGGACUUUGAAGAAGGAAGUGAUGGCCGGGUCUGCUCUGUUUCAAUUGAGGAUGGAUAGCUGCCUGAAAGACAUGAUGAUUAUUAUUGCAUGAUGUUUAGGUGCUAAGAUCAUCAUUUCUAUCUUGCUUCAUUCUUGGAAUCAUUUAUCCUAUAUAAACAUAUUGAAUUGUGCUAAUAUUAUCACUUGUGUCAAUGGAGGCAGGAAUUUGGUGCUGAAACUAUUAUGCAGGUAACCACACUUGAUAAUUUACACAAAUUUGCGUUGUCAGAAUAUCCUUUAAUAUUCAUUGUGUUUCUUUGUGUUAUCAGGUUAUCAUGGUAUAUAGAGUAUCAUUUUCAAGGAUUUGUAAGAGCUUUCGCAGUAAAGUUAGUCAUCACCACCUUGUGCAAUUGCACAUACAUUCAUAGUACUUCAAUAUUAGAUUUUCAAGGUUUGUAUGUUUAGUUGAGAUUAAAAUGUUUAGUCACUCAUUCUUAAUCUUUUCUGAUUUUCAAGUUCUUUAGGGCCAUAAACAGUUUUUCCAACUCAUUCUUAUUUUUUAGGUUGAUUUCGAGUACUCUGUGGAGAACAUUGGUGAGACAAAGGAUUAGACUGGCGAUGGAACUGCUGCCUCUGCUGUUAUUGUGCAAGGUUUGAUCACUGGACCUUGAACAAGAAAGCCUUACACGCAUUCUGUAAUUCAAGCGUUCUCUAAAACGAACGAGCAGUAGAAGGA